Molecule: long non-coding RNA, 65687 nt
Filed under: Zea mays
Lineage: Eukaryota; Viridiplantae; Streptophyta; Magnoliopsida; Poales; Poaceae
Description: long non-coding RNA (ZMAY_LNC001250)
Source: RNAcentral
AAUAUUGAAUGACGGUUUUGUUUUUCUCUUCCUCCAGAUCUUGUUGCAUCUUCAGAACCUUGCUUAAUAAUAUGCUCUGUCGAAAUGAUCUUCGUCAGAACACGACACAAAAGUUAAUAAUAAUAGUAAUAAAAUAACAAAAAUAUUUGUUACCUUGAAGUUAGCAUAAAGCAAGCUUCCGGCGAUGUGGUGUCGUUGAUAACGAUACAAGUCCACUUCCAGCUUCGGCAAGCCAAUGCUUUUGGAAAGGGUUCUAAUAAUUUUGGCUUCGGUGCGGUUCCGAAGGCAUCUUAAUUUCCCUUCGUUGACCCCACCAAAAAGCAUAGCCCCUGAUUUGUAUCCACAGGAUGUGGCAUAUUUUUUCAACUCCUCUUUUUCGGCGUCCGUUAAUUCUUGUCCGAGCAAAUCUUGAAAGUUAAAAUCUUCUUCUUCUGAAAUUUCAUCAAUUUGCUCUUUCCCCUUCUCAGUUGCCAUAUUCACUGUAGCCACGGUAGCUUCCUCUUCAGCCAUUUUCAGCAGUAUGUUGUCAAUAACCUCAAGUGUGGUUUCCAGGUUCGACUCUUCGGUGGCCCCAGCUUCGGCCCCGGUAGCUUCGGCUUCGCCGGAUUCAGCUUCAGCAGUUUUCAUUUCAGUAGCUUCGGCUUCGGCAGUUUCAGCAAAAACAAUUUUUGACACCGUUGCCGGUGGCGGCGUCUGAUGGAUCACAUCUGUUACUUGAAUAAUUCUCCGCUUUUUUGGCUUCGCAGGACUUUCUACUGCCGAAGCUGCCUUGUCCUUCUGAAAAAACUUCGUCAGAUCCAGUGCCAGCGGACUUAGCCUGAAAGGCAAAGGUUCAGUCAUUACCUUCAUAAUUUCUUCUACUUCAAUAGCAGAAGGAGAAGCAGGAGUGUCUUCUUCUUGGACCGGCGUUUUCGGCUCUGGGGAUGCACUUUUUCUCUUUUUUGCCGUAGGCACCUUCGGCUCAGGAUUUAACUCUUCAGCGCUAAUGUUAUCAGAAUCUUUCUUUUUCUUUUUUGCUGCCUUGACGACUUCUUCGUCAGUAGUGCUAGCAAUCCUUUUUCGCUUCGGGCCCCCAGCAUCUCCGCCCAGACGACCGUAGUCAGCAUAUUCAAAUCCUAUGGCAUCAAGUACUCUGUUCAGCCUUCGUUUCGGCCGAGUGCCGAAGGCCGCUGUCAUCAGUUGGUCCUCUUUUUUAGAGUAAUUCCCAAGAAUUUUAUUGCUCAUUAUUUCAAUUGUAUCAAGCCAUUCUUGGCAGGGUACUUUAAAGUAUUUCUUGAACUUAUAAUGGUAGGGCAGUCGGACGAGUUCCCCCUUUUUCUUUUCCCCUUUAAGCUUCGACAUUGUCCACUCUUUCAUAGUUGGAAAAACCCUGAAGGCCAGGAAUUCUUGCACUAAAUCUCUAGUGCCAAUAUGUUCUGCAAUAAUUUUGAAUUCGCCCAGUGCAACCCAAGUUGGACCUUCUACUUCCAUUCUGCAUCGGGGUCUUGUUUCUCCGAAGGUUAGUUCAAGAGGGCUCUGAACCAGCUUUUCUUUGUCCUCGUCAACUUUGACAUAAAACCAUUCUGAUUUCCAGUCUGCCGGCCAUUUGCUUCGGUAGCUGAUCACGGGAAACUUCGUGGUUUUCCGAUAAGCAAAGUUAUAGCAACCAAAAUUUUCAUGCAAUCCAUCUUUUCUGGCUUUUGUUUGGUAAUGCAGCUCAUGAACUCGACAGAAGCUGUCGGCAAAUGGCUCCACCGCCUAGCUUCGGAGAGCCCAGAUAUAGACGCUGAGCCUGACAAUCGCGUUGGGCGUCAGUUGGUGAAAAUAGAUGCCAAAUCUUUGCAGCACGUCAGAGAUCAUCCUAUUUAAGGGAAAUCUUAACCCAUCCUUUAGGAAGCUCUUGAAAAUGACUAUUUCAUCCUUUUCUGGCUUCGUGGUAGUUUCUUCCCCCCCCCCCCCGAAGCGAAGUAGCUUCUUCUCAUUCUCACUGAAGUAACCCGACUUCACCAUCUUGGAGAGAUCAGCCUUAGAGACAGUCGACUUUCCGAAGUCCAAGUGGCUGGGCUUGCUUGGCACGACAAUAUGGUAAUCAUCAUCGGGAUCAGCUUCCUCAAUAUUUCCUUCUUCUGCUUCGGCAGCAACUUGUUCUGUCUCGGCAACAGUCUGCUCUGUCUCGGCAGUACGGAGUCCUUCCGAGGUCACCAGUCCGGAUCGUUGCAUCGCUUCAGAGAUGGGAACAGUCUCCGAUCCUUCAGCUUCGCCUCCCUCACGCUCAACCCUAGCGGUAGAGCGCACUCUGGCCAUUUAAUUCUGAAUUUUUUGGGAACUAAAAACUUUUUCUUCCAAAGUUUUUUCUUCUGACGAAGUAGGCUUUAAACUGGAAGCUUCGUUUGAUUGCGAGAGUCAAGCUUCGGCUAUGGUUAAAAAUUUUGGCAGCAAAACAGUGCAAUAGCAAUGAAUGCUGUGGUAACUUCACACCUACCCGUCUGUUUAUAUAGUGCUACAGGUAAGAAGGUGAAUCGUCAGGAUUUUUACACCAGGCGAACAGCUGCUUACACCUGCUGCGCGUGGACCGCAGAGACCAAAUAGUAACUCUGCAGGGUGGGACCGCUACGCGCUCGGAAACUGAAUCGUUUCUCGACAACGAGCUCAGGGAAGGUGUUUUUCGGACCUUCGGCUCCCUGAAGCCUAAGAGACUUUUUUCACGGAUCAAGCUCGUUACGAAAAACGAUCUAGCACCGCGAAGGGGCUACUGUUGGGACCAUGCUUCGUCGCCGAAGGUCCUGCAGGAAGAAACAGCUUCGGCUGAAGCUGUCCGCAUGUGAUGACCGAAGGUUCCUUUCCAUGAAGCUUCGGAGUUACAAACCGACUUAAAAAUAGAAUGACCAUUUAGUCCAUAAAUGUUUGAGUCGUUGUUGUAAACUUUUAUGAGGGGCAUGAUUGUAAUUCCUCACAGGCUGUGUCCUGUGCCUAUAAAUAGUGAACAGUACUCCUUUACUGUUCACGGAUUCCUACAAUUGCAAUCGCGUCAAUCGGGAAUUAAUCUUUGUCAAGGCAGAGGUAUAAAUGUAUUUAGUACUUGAAUACAUUAAAUGGAGAUAAUAUAAAAGUGAUGUUGUUCAUUUAUAAUUUAUUUGUCUUUAAUGCUUCAUAUUUCGUAUUAUUUUAUAUAAUCUACUAGAGUUCAAUUACGAAGAUUUAACCUUCGUAAUUGUAUCGUUUUUAACCUUCGUCCGAAGUUCAUUAAUCCUUAAAGGAAUAAUGCUUCAUUGGACGAAGGGCAUUAACAUUUAACAUUUUAUGUUGCCUUGUUCUUAAUUCAUAGCAUUUGAGAACGAGUCUCCAACAGGGGGGAAAUGGCGGAUGUGUGUAGACUACACUGGUCUGAACAAAGCAUGUCCGAAGGUUCCCUACCCUCUGCCUCGCAUCGAUCAAAUCGUGGAUUCCACUGCUGGGUGUGAAACCCUGUCUUUCCUCGAUGCCUACUCAGGGUAUCACCAAAUCAGGAUGAAAGAGUCCGACCAGCUCGCGACUUCUUUCAUCACACCCUUCGGCAUGUACUGCUAUGUCACCAUGCCGUUCGGUUUGAGGAAUGCGGGUGCGACGUACCAGCGGUGCAUGAACCAUGUGUUCGGCGAACACAUUGGCCGCACGGUCGAGGCCUACAUCGAUGACAUCGUAGUCAAGACGAGGAAAGCCUCCGACCUCCUUUCCGACCUUGAAGUGACAUUCCGAUGUCUCAAGGCGAAAGGCGUCAAGCUCAAUCCUGAGAAGUGUGUCUUCGGGGUGCCCCGAGGCAUGCUCUUGGGGUUCAUCGUCUCCGAGCGGGGCAUCGAAGCCAACCCGGAGAAGAUCGCAGCCAUCACCAGCAUGGGGCCCAUCAAGGACUUGAAAGGCGUACAGAGGGUCAUGGGAUGUCUCGCGGCUCUGAGCCGCUUCAUCUCACGCCUCGGCGAAAGAGGUCUACCUCUGUACCGCCUCUUAAGGAAGGUCGAGUGCUUCACUUGGAGCCCUGAGGCCGAGGAAGCCCUCGGGAACCUGAAGGCGCUCCUCACGAAGGCGCCUGUCUUGGUGCCCCCAGCUGCCGGAGAAGCCCUCUUGGUCUACGUCGUCGCGACCACUCAGGUGGUUAGCGCCGCGAUUGUGGUCGAGAGGCAAGAAGAGGGGCAUGCAUUGCCCAUUCAGAGGCCAGUCUACUUCGUCAGCGAGGUAUUGUCCGAAACCAAGAUCCGCUAUCCACAAGUCCAGAAGCUGCUGUAUGCGGUGAUCCUGACACGGCGGAAGCUGCGACACUACUUCGAGUCUCAUCCGGUAACUGUGGUGUCGUCCUUCCCCCUGGGGGAGAUCAUCCAGUGCCGAGAGGCCUCGGGUAGAAUUGCAAAGUGGGCGGUGGAAAUCAUGGGCGAAGCAAUCUCGUUCGCCCCUCGGAAGGCCAUCAAGUCCCAGGUCCUGGCAGACUUCGUGGCCGAAUGGGUCGACACCCAGCUACCAACGGCGCCGAUCCAACCGGAGCUCUGGACCAUGUCCUUCGACGGGUCGUUGAUGAAGACAGGAGCCGGCGCAGGCCUACUCUUCAUCUCGCCCCUCGGCAGGCACAUACGCUAUGUGCUACGCCUCCAUUUCCCGGUGUCCAACAAUGUGGCCGAGUAUGAGGCUCUGGUCAACGGGUUGCGAAUCGCCAUCGAGCUAGGGGUCCGACGCCUCGACGCUCGCGGUGACUCGCAGCUCGUCAUCGACCAAGUCAUGAAGAACUCCCACUACCGCGACCCGAAGAUGGAGGCCUACUGCAAUGAGGUUCGGCGCUUGGAAGACAAGUUCUACGGGCUCGAGCUCAACCACAUUGCUCGGCGCUACAACGAGACUGCGGACGAGCUGGCUAAAAUAGCCUCGAGGCGAACAACGGUUCCCCCGGACGUCUUCUCCCGAGAUCUGCAUCAACCCUCCGUCAAGAUCGACGACACGCCCGAGCCUGAGGCACCCUCGGCACAGUCCGAGGCACCCUCGGCUCGGCCCGAGGCACCCUCGGUUCGGCCCGAGGCACCCUCGGUUCGGCCCGAGGUACCCUCGGCCCCCGAGGGCGAGGCGCUGCGCGUCGAGGGGGAGCCAAGCAGGGUCACGCCUGAUCAAAACUGGCGGACCUCGUACCUGCAAUAUCUCCACCGAGGAGAGCUACCCUCCGACCGAGCCGAAGCUCGGCGGGUGGCGCGGCGCGCCAAGUCGUUCGUCCUGCUGGGAGAUUAGAAGGAGCUCUACCACCGCAGCCCCUCCGGCAUCCUCCAGCGAUGCAUCUCCAUCGCCGAAGGUCAGGAACUCCUGCGAGAGAUACACUCGGGGGCUUGCGGCCAUCACGCAGCGCCUCGAGCCCUUGUCGGGAAUGCCUUCCGACAAGGCUUCUACUGGCCCACGGCGGUGGCCAACGCCACUAGAAUUGUCCGCGCCUGCGAAGGGUGUCAGUUCUACGCAAGGCAGACCCACCUGCCCGCUCAGGCUCUACAGACAAUACCCAUCACCUGGCCCUUUGCUGUGUGGGGUCUGGACCUCGUCGGCCCCUUGCAGAAGGCACCCGGGGGCUACACGCACCUGUUGGUCGCCAUCGACAAAUUCUCCAAGUGGAUCGAGGUCCGACCCCUAAACAGCAUCAGGUCCGAGCAGGCGGUGGCGUUCUUCACCAACAUCAUCCAUCGAUUCGGGGUCCCAAACUCCAUCAUCACCGACAACGGCACCCAGUUCACCGGCAGAAAGUUCCUGGACUUCUGCGAGGAUCACCACAUCCGGGUGGACUGGGCCGCCGUAGCUCACCCCAUGUCAAAUGGGCAAGUAGAGCGUGCCAACGGCAUGAUUCUACAAGGGCUCAAGCCUCAGAUCUACAACGACUUCAACAAGUUCGGCAAGCGAUGGAUGAAGGAACUCCCCUCGGUGGUUUGGAGCCUGAGGACAACGCUGAGCCGAGCCAUGGGCUUCACGCCGUUCUUUCUAGUCUAUGGGGCCGAGGCCAUCUUGCCCACAAACUUAGAAUACGGUUCCCCGAGGACGAGGCCUAUACCGACCAAAGCAACCAAGCUAGUCGAGAGGACUCGUUGGACCAGCUGGAGGAGGCCCGGGACAAGGCCUUACUACACUCAGCGCGGUACCAGCAGUCCCUGCGACGCUACCACGCCCGAGGGGUCCGGUCCCGAGACCUCCAGGUGGGCGACCCGGUGCUUCGGCUAUGGCAAGACGCCCGGGGCGGCACAAGCUCACGCCCCCCUGGGAGGGGCCGUUCAUCAUCGCCAAAGUUCUAAAGCCCGAAACGUACAAGCUGGCCAACAGUCAAGGCGAGGUCUACAACAACGCUUGGAACAUCCAACAGCUACGUCGCUUCUACCCUUAAGAUGUUUUCAAGUUGUUCAUAUACCUCGCUCCCAUGCAAAGUUUAGUCAUCAAGGAAGGGUCGGCCUCGCCUCGGCAAAGCCCGACCCUCCCUCGGGGGCUAAAAGGGGGGAACCCCCUCUGCGUCGAAUUUUUUCCUCGAAAGAUCCCUUCUGCCAGAAUGUCUUUCGUGCUUUUUGACUACUUCGAAAGUGGAUCCUGAAAACGAUGGAGUACACGUAAGCAGCCAAGGCUGACCGAGCCGAGGGACUCCUACGCCUCCGGGAUAUGGAUACCUCACUCAUCACCUUCUGCGAUAAGUAACUCACGUUCGGAUAAGUGAUUCCGCGGACCGAACAGGUCUUCACGUUCGGAAGCUCUUCUGCCGGAGCGAUUCUUCGAGCCUUCUUGACUGCGUCGGUGACAGAACCCCAUGGACGGGUGAAAGGGAAAUAGGCUUUAAACCUUUUCCUAAAUGAUUUUGGUGGUUGAAUGACCAACACAACUAAUUGGACUAACUAGUUUGCUCUAGAUCAUAUAUUCUACAGGUGUCAAAGAUUCAACUCAAAACCAAUAAAAAGAACAAGACAAGGUUCAAAAGAAAGGAGCAAAGAGAAACCGAAGUGCUCCCUGGCAUGGCGCACCGGACUGUCCGGUGUGCCACCGGACAGUGUCCGGUGCACCACCGGACAGUGUCCGGUGCACCAGGGAGGAUUGCCUUCAAACUCUUCACCUUCGGGUUUCUCAGGCGCAGCCCACUAUAAUUCACCGGACUGUCCGGUGCACCACCGGACAGUGUCCGGUGCUCCAGAGUGAAGCGGCUCUGAACUGGCCAGCUUCGGGAAAGUGGGAGGUCGCUCCGCUAAAAUUCACCGGACCGUCCGGUGUACACCGGACUGUCCGGUGUGCCAGCGGAGCAACGGUCAUCUGCGCGCAACGGUCGACUCUGCAAAGUGUACUGUGGCGGAACCGCCCGAAUUAUUCCAACUUAAGUGCCUAAGUCCCACCUUAGAGGCUAGACCACACUUAAAUAGGAAUAAAUCGUCAGUCCCUCGGAUCUAGUCCGACGAGGCCACUUAUCCAGGAUCGAAUACCACUAGCUCACACGAAGGUGAGGCACAGAGAAAUACAAUAAAACACAAUACCACAAAUUUAAUAAGUAUCAUUAGUGAUUACAUUAUCGGAGUUUCAGAAAUAAUAACCAUAAAUUUUAAUGCAGCGGAAAUAACUAACGGAGAAAACCGAGUAACAUGGCGAAGCCUGGCCACGCUACUCCUCCUGGUCCUCUCCUGCGGAAGCAAUAACCCACUUGACUGUCUAUCCCGGUGGCAGGGAUGAAGGCCAAGUCACACCAUCAAUCAAUCAUCCUAAGGAGUACCUGCAAAAAUUAUGCCACAAGCAAGGCUGAGUAUACUAAUACUCAGCUAGACUUACCCGGUGUGAGGAGUCUACUCCUCUACCUCUAGACAUGCAGCUGUUUGGCUGUGGGGUUUGGUUGCCAAAAGCACUAGCUGAGUCUAAAAACAAGUUUUAGCUUUUCAAGUUUUAGUAUGAUCCUUUUAAACUAGAUGUGUACCUAGCUAAUCAUACAUGGUAUCAAACAUUUUAAUCAAACAACAUCUUUUGCCAGUCACCUCAUUUCCACUUAUUACUCAAUGUAGCAGCAUGGAUCAAGCAGUCUCAUUAGCUGCGAGAAGCAGACGAUUCGAAUCGAGUUUUUAAACCUUGCAAGGUAAACCUAAACACACGACAUGUAGGGGCACUCCGUCCCCACACAUAUCAACCGUCCCCAUUGAUUCCCUGGCAACAGAUCAGGGCUCACCGCCUUGGCGUACAAUGCCUCACUGACCCCGACUGGCCGUCGUGCAGUGACCGCACUUGUACCCACCAUAACCGGAAUGGGAGACCUCGUCUCAGGUCGCGUGAGGGGAUAUGUCUGCGGGCAGGUUCACUCAGGUACUAGGCUUACCGAUUUACCAUAUUUCUCGGUAUGUGUUUAGUACGUUCAAACGCUUGACUCACGGUACCACACCUUAAUCCUUAUUCCAAUUUUCAUCUCGUAGACAACGCAUCCCCAUGGAUCGUUGUCUACAGACCACCAUCAUUAUGAUAUAAAAAUGGAUACAAUCAAUUCCUGACCUCGCGCGAGUGCUAGAAAAAUCACUCGACUUCUACCGAGAUCCCUAAUUAGUAAAGCAGCUACUCGACCUAGCAUACUAGUAUUCAUCUCAAAAAGGAAUCCUGAGUUCAUGCAACUAGGGUUUCAGUCAACUCCUACACUUAAGUGCACAGUACAAACCUACAAACAUUAAGUGCAGUAAAAUAGCAUAUAUAAUGGUUAUGCAUAAAACCGGGGCUUGCCUUUAAUUUAACACUUAAAUAGUGUUUGUUGGGUGGCACUCGCUUGGCGAGCAUCCACUGGUUAUGUCCAUCCUUCCUUGGGUCGUCCACCGACUGCAUCUUGUGGGUGGCACCACAUCAAUUGCACGGUCGUCACCUCUCGGUCCUAAAUGAGAUGCAGGAUGCAUAUGUAUGAAUACAAUGAAAAAUAUCACAAGCUAUAUAAAUACAUGGUAGCAAACUAACAUUUAAUUGUAAGACACCGCAACGACUAUACGCAAGCGCUAGCUAUUCGUAAGUUAUCGGCGUUCAUCAUUAACACCAUUAACAAGACGACCACAUUUUAUUUAUUUACGCAACACAAAUACGAUAUCACGAGCACAAACAUUUACCAUGUUCACUUAACUAUCCAUUAGUUACCUAACCUUAUAUUAGUUAAGUCUAUAAGUUCGUCACGACUUUUCCUUAGUUCUUCUAGUGAUCACACAAAAGCAUCCCAAACACAAGUUUAACAGAGGACCUAUGCAACAAUGUCGAUAGACUCCUAUAUCACAAUCAACUACAGCAAGCAAGCACAUUAAUCAUGUAACACACGUUAACCUAAGUUUGUCCAUUACAAUUCUAUAUCCGUUAAGUGCUAACUAAGCAUUUUUAGUCAAAGGGGUGAACUAAUAAUUAAUUGGGCACAUGCAGAUUUUUAGUACAGCAGCACCACAGUCACUAGUUUUAAUCAUAUCUCUUCAAAUAUUAAUCCAAAAAUAGCAAACUAGGACAUUCCGGAAAGCUUAAAAAGUGCUCUACAACAUUGGUAUUGUCAUCACAGCACGUUUAAACACUUAGCAAGGUCAAAUGGUGCAAACACAGCAGCUCUGUCCAGAUUUGGACAGAUGCAGACUUGCAACUUCAAAAAUUCACAACUGAAGAUUCAGACAUCCAAACAAAUUGAUCCUAGACUUUCUGGAAAGCUAAUUAAAUGUUUUACAAAUUAUUUAUAAACAUCUCAAGGUGAUUCAAUAUUUAACUAAGGAUAAACAUCACUAUAAGACUUUGCUGUCCAGAACUGGACAGAUUCAGUCUUCAUAUUUGAAACAUUCAUAACUUAAGCUUCAGACCACCAAAAAUAGUGAUCCAAGACUUUUUGGAAAGCUUGGCAAAAGCACUACAUAUUUUUAUAAUCCCCAAGAAUUGAUUCUAUGUUAAACUGAAUCAAACAAUUCAGUUUUCGAAAUCUGUUCUGUCAGUGGACAGAACACCGCAACCAAGUUGUAAAAUUCAUAACUCUUAAACCGUCAGGCCUUUAGUUAUGAAUUUUUAACACAAGCAAGAUAAGAAAAGCAUCUACAACUUUCUUAUAAUCUACAAGGACUGAUUCAAAUAUCAACUUAAGCAAACAGUGCAGUCUCUGAAAUCUGUACAGAAAUUGGACAGAUUCAGUUACUGAAUUUGUAAAGAGCAUAACUCCUAAAUUGUCAGACCUAUGGCUGUCAAAUUUUAACACCAGCAAGAAAAUAAAGUUAUCUACGACUUUUCUAUAGCACAUAUCUACAGAAAACACAAUUUAGUUCAUCAAACAUACAGCACAACUAAAACAGUGCGUGCAGUCUAAAACAGCAAUCAAUAAAUUUCAGUUUCUAUAUAAUUCAAGAAUUUCCUUGAUCUAGAUACUUGAAUUAUUCUAACACUUUAUCAUUUGUUAGAGUUAACAUAAUCAAGGGAGAACUAACAAGUAGACUUACUAAAUUUUUAUCCGUAUCAUUUUGUACGCUAGAAUCACCACACACAAUUAACAAACACAUCCACCACAAUAAUCGGACCCGGUACAUAUACAUGUAUCGAUGCGCCCUUCACACACUAAUUUGCAUUUUAGCUUAGACAUCAUAUGAACACUACUACUUUUUACCCGCGAUCAUAACCAUGCGCAAUUGGGCUACAACACGCAAUUCAUCGUGACCAUUAACUUAACUAAAGUCAUCUAACAAGUUGAUUAACCUGAGCAACAACCUAGGCCGCUAUACAACAUACUCGUCGGCUAGCCUAUUAUUAUCGAAAUCUGAGACACAACAUAUGCCACAACAUUUAUAUAAACAUACAUAUUCACAUGUAUUUUCACACAUCCACCAAAUCAUAUGACCCGUAAACCACUAUUCUCUAACUCGAAACCAUCAUGUGCUUACUUCCCAAUUCAUGAACACAUACCGCGUAUUGACCCUACUCAAGAUAUAGAGGAAGCGAUGACUACUUUGGCAUGUCACCACCUCUCUAUAUAAGCCAAAACAAUUUCUACUAUCGACUAAAAGUUCUAAGUAUUAAUCACAUUAUUACUUUACACGCGCAAAUAAACCUCAACUUAACACCAGUGACACCGAUGGAUUUUUACUAAACUCAUCAUGCGCAUAACCAUUUAAUCUUUAAUUGGUACUAAGGUAUAUUUCAAUAUUCCAAGAGACAUGCAAGCUUUUGUUUACUUCUAAUUUCAUUAACUCUUCUUUAUAAUUAUAAAAUGGGUGUUAUUUUAGCACCAUACAAAAGUACCUAAUUUGGGGCUGGAAUUUUUAUGAGGCAAAGGUAAUAAGAAUUUAUGGCUAAUGUAUAAAUUUCACAUGCCCAGGUUUUAUAUUUUAUUUAAUACAAAAAUAAUAAAUUGUCAAUGCAAUAAAGCAUGUGAGAGCAAGUUAAAUCUAAAACUAAUUAUUUUCUGUAGAUGCAUUACCAUAUUGAGUUUUCUUAGGCUACUAUAAUACCAUGCAAGGACAGUAGAACACCAUUUUACAUUUUUGCAUCUAUACAUUAUUUUUAAAUCAUUUAAAACUACUUAAGGUGCAUUAAACAAGUUAAAUCACUAACUUAAUCAUACAUGCACAACAAUUCAUGAAAUAUUUACCAGUCACCAAGCAUCACACCACGAGUCUACUGUAAAAAUUUGAAUCCAUUUGGAGCACAAGAGCUACAGAUCUAAAAAUAACAAGCAAAACAACCAUGUUUUUCCUAUUUAACAUGUUUAAAUUAACACACCAAGAAAACAGUGAACAACCUACAAGUUUUAUAUUUUUCUUAGAUGAAGUAUGACAACAUCUAACUAACAAAACAGGUUUCAUCAUUUUUGGAAUUUUGUAAUUAAAACGAUGGAGAGAUGCAAGUUCGUUUAUUCUCUAAACCAGUUUUUAAAUACGAAUUUCUACAGAAAAACUUUUCCACUAAAACAUACCAACAUAUAGAUCCAAUAGUUAGAGCAUUUCAUAAGGAAGACAACAAAACAAGUUUCACGAUUUUAGGGGUUACCAAACUCAAGAUAUGAAUUUUUAAAGAAAGGACAAAGGUCUGAAACUUUCAGCAAUCUUACCCAUGGCCUUGGGCCCACACGUCAUUGGCACACACGGUUCUUCUUCCACCUCACGUAGAGCAGCAGCAGGGGCGAGGACCUGGGCGUCCAUGGCCAGAGCGCCGAGCACCGAGGCUUGGGGAAGCCGCGCUUGCCACGGAGAGGGAGUAGCCAUGGAGGGCAACUCGGAGAUGGUGCCCUGGCCGCUGCCGUGCACUAGGGACAGAGGAGCAGGGAGAACGACGGCUAGUUGGGGGAGCUCGGCCAUGGGAAAUGGCGCCUGCGCCAUGGCUGGAGAGCACCUGCUCAAGGCCGGACCCGAGGAGGUAUCGCUGGGGAAGCACCGGCUGGAGCAGGCAAAAGCGUGGAGGGGAAGGGAGAGAGAGGUGGGCUGCCAUUUUUAAAGAGGUGCUGGCGGCAGCCAUUGGUGGACAUGGGCGGCUGCUGCAGAGCACCAGUCUGCACAGAGGCAGAAAGAAGCACGCAUUGGACAGACGUUUUUGUCAUUUUCUGUUUGGAUUCGGAUCUCAGUCAGUGCACGAAAUAUCUUCCUUGAUCUAUACUCUACAAUUGUUGUACAGAACUUGAGGUGAUUUAGGCACUGGUUAGAGAGUUAUAGACCCACGAAAAUUGGUUUGUCAGUGGGUUAGAAAACAGUGGAAACUCGUGAAAACUGAAUGUCAAAGCAUGUCAAACAAAAUCGGAUGAAUGCCAUCUUUUAAUAUGUUGUGCCCCUAUUAGUUAUUAACAACUUUUGUAUUUGGGGAAACUUGAGUUGUUCAACAAAAAUUUGGGAACGCGAGACGUCGACCCGAACGAUGCUGAUUUCAGACUUAGAAGGAUUCGAAUUCAGAAAUCAGAUUUUUAUUAUGUCUUGAUGUCACUGUUUGAGAUACUUAGAAAUUUAAUCAAGGCUUGGUUUAAAUAUAAAAUUUGUUGUAUUACACAGGUUCUACAAUGUUUAUUAAAGGUCAAACCUCAUAUCUUGAAUAUAAAUUAAAGUUUUACUUUGGUCAAGGUAGCAUCAUUAUAAAGCUUCAAAUUAUAUUUUUAAGGCAUUCGGGGUAUUUUCUCGAUAUUUUCUUGGCAUUUUCUCUACAUGAACCCUUAAUAACUUUUGUUGUAGAGUUGAUAUAGAGUUGUUUGAGUAAGAUGGCAAGACUUGGUCGAAUUUCAAAAUUUACAUUUGUUCAAACGAGAAGUUUCAAGCAAGUAUAGGAUUUAUCUUUUCAUGUGAGUAUUUCGUUCAACCUUCUAGAAAUCUUUAGAAUACACUUGAUGGAUAGAGAUGAAUGAUGAUAUAUAGAAAACAAGUCGAGUUGCAUAAGAAUUAAUUAGAGGUUCACACAAAGAGAUCCUGCGGGAGAAUGCGGAUUCAGAUUAAGUAUUUGGACGUAGACCGACUAUCGAGACAGCGGAUUCGGACAUAGAUCGGAGUUUCGAGGAAUUAGAUUCGGGCUCAGAUCAGAUAACAGUCGUCGAGAGUUUGAUUAAAUGAGCUUCAUAUGAGAUUUAUAAUUCGAGAAUGAUUUUUGAGUUCGCAUCCGUGCCGAGGAUAAAAGUUUUAACACGCUCCGAAAUUGGAUGUUUCUCGCGAUCGAAUAACUCUGAAUUCGGUGAACUUCCAAGAGAAAGCCUGAUAAACAGAGAUAGACACGAUCGAGAAAUAGAAAUUUUCACUGAGCAUUCGCGUUAGGGACAAAUCUCCCGACAUAACAUGAAACUGACACCUGGGGUGUCACAGCUUGUAACACCCCGUCCAAUCCCUGGACCGGCGGUACUUACUCCUGGCAGCUCUCUAGGAUCAUAUAUUGUCCCCACAGACCAACACGAGUCUUUUGUGCGCACUUUGUCCUCACUCAUGCGCACCCGAGAAAACUUCCCGGUCGGUCACCCAUCCCAAAUUGCUCCAAGCCAAGCAUGCUUAACUUGGAGGUUCCUUCGAGAUAGGCUUCCGAAAAAGAAGAUGCACCUUGUUGGUAUGAUUACACUAUUAAUUCUAUUAAGCCUUGGGCCAGGACAUCCCAUCCCAGGGGCCAGGAUAUCACAAUCCACCCCCCUUAGAAGACCGACGUCCUCGUCGGUCAACCCCAAUCCAGGAACCUCCCCUCUUGGUCACGUCUGUAUGUCUAGUGUCGUCAUAUGCCAUGCCAUGUGACCACUCCGGGCCCACAUGCGCCAUGCGUCAUAUACCCGAACCCCCUAGCCCACACACGCCCGUGAAACCACGAGGGUCGGCUCUGAUACCACUUGUAACACCCCGUCCAAUCCCUGGACCGGCGGUACUUACUCCUGGCAGCUCUCUAGGAUCAUAUAUUGUCCCCACAGACCAACACGAGUCUUUUGUGCGCACUUUGUCCUCACUCAUGCGCACCCGAGAAAACUUCCCGGUCGGUCACCCAUCCCAAAUUGCUCCAAGCCAAGCAUGCUUAACUUGGAGGUUCCUUCGAGAUAGGCUUCCGAAAAAGAAGAUGCACCUUGUUGGUAUGAUUACACUAUUAAUUCUAUUAAGCCUUGGGCCAGGACAUCCCAUCCCAGGGGCCAGGAUAUCACAUGCACUUCCCUUUAAGAUGUGUCAAGCUCUUCUUUAGCCUCUCAUUUUCUUCUUUGAGCUUUUGAUAUGAAUCAUCAUUUGUUCCUGCAAGUUCUAGCUCAAAGGAAGAUUUGCUUGUUGACAAACAACAAGCAUUAGCACAUGGUAAUAUAGUAUCAAUUUGAAUACAUGUGCACGAGUGAGGUUGUUGGGAUUUUAAGUUUUCUAUCACGACCUCAUGAGCAAUGUUUAAUAUGAUAUGAUCAUCCACAAGAUUUUCAUGAGAACAUAGAAGCAUAUCAUAUUUUUCUUGAAAAGCUAGAUUUUCAACUUUUAGCUUUUCUACUUGGUCCUUAAGCAAGGUAUUCCUAUUUACUAAUUGAGCGAUACAAUGUAAAGCGUUAUCAUGCUCAAUUGAAACAGUUUCAUACCUUUGGACCAAAUCAACAUGAGAGCACUUUAGCUCCUCAUGUUCUUUAGUCAACUCGUCAAAGUGUUGCAUCUUCAUGGAGAGAAUACUUUCUAGCCUUUGACGAGCUUCGCCUUGCUCUCUCGCUCUUUCUAUAAGUUUGAACAUGACCGCCUUAUCUUCUUGGCUUAAGCGAGCGUAGAGUUGCACAAAGCUUCUUUCUUCCUCCUCAUCCUCAUUUGUGCUUCCGCUAUCAUUUGCAUUAGCCACACAACACAUGUGGGAAUCGAAAUGGGAAGACAAACCUUUUGGAGAGGUGGAUUCAUCGUUUGGUCUCCAUCGUUCAUUUUCUUCUUCUUCCUUGCAAGGGUUAGUAUCACAAAUACCAAAGGAAGUAGAAGCAUAAAAUGAACUAUCAUGUUUGGACUCAUCAAAUUUGCUUUUAAUUCUAGUCCAAAUAUCAUGCGCAUCAUGAAUAGGUUCAUCAUAUUUUGAUAUGAAGGCACGAUAAUGUUCUUUGCUAAGAGAAUUGCUUAAGAUGUCAAAAGCUAGGUAGUUUAAGCGAAAACAUCUUUGAUCCUCCUCGGAAUUAAUUUUUCCAUUAAAACUAGAGGGAAAAAUACUCUUGUCAAUAAUUUGUUCUAAUUGAGGAUGUAUGGUUCUAAAGGCAUUUAUCACACUAGUAGACCAUGAAUCAUAAUUAGAACAAUCAUCAAAUAAUAUCUCAAGAGUUACCUCCUUUUGAGUUGCGUUCGUUGGAGGAGUCUUCUUGUUCUUUUGGGAUCUUCUACGAGCCAUCACUUCGAGUUGUUAGACUCAAGAUGAACUGCCUAGCUCUGAUACCAAUUGAUAGUCGCCUAGAGGGGGGGGUGGAUAGGCGAAACCUGAAAAUUAAAACUUUAUCCCCCAACUAGAUCCUUUGAUUAGUGGUUAGAACAAGAUGAACAAUUAUCGGAGUAUAAAAACUAAGUUCUUGCUAGUAAAGAGUAAAGCUUUCAAAUAAUGUGGAAGUGAUAAAUCAAUACAACUAAUAAGUCUAUGAUAAUAAAGCAAGAAAGCUUAGAUGAAAAGAGCACUAACUCAAGUUCUUUCUUGCGGAGUGUUGCUUCACUUAAAUGAGUGUUUAACUUGAAGCAACACCAAAUGAUAUGAGCAAAGAAUAGUGCAAGAGAACUUAGAGUAAGGGAAAGCAAACAAAUCACAAGCAAAAGCACAAUGAACACGGGUGAUUUGUUUUACCAAGGUUCGGCCCUCGAAGGCCUAGUCCCCGUUGAGGAGUCCACUUAAGGACGGGUCUUUUUCAACCCUUUCCCUCUCUCCCGAUCACACAAGGAUCGGCGAGCUCUUCUUCUUCUCAAGGAUCACUCUCGAUCCCACAAGGACCACCACAAUCUUUGGUGUCUCUUGCUAGCUUUUACAAGCCUCCAACACUUUGGAGGAAGUUUGAAUGGGAGUCAAAACUCCACGCACAAAUGAACACAAAGAUGAGGCACACACUAUCUCUCAAUGAAUCUCACAAGGCACUAGGGCUAAACUCAAUUGAGUAGCUCUCAAUUGCUCGCUCUCUCUUUUGUGGCACUUGUGUUGGUUGUAGUGGGCUAGAUCUUGUGUAUAGGAUGUAUCAAUGAAUAUAGGUGGUUGGGAGGGCUUGAGUAUGUCAACUAGAUGACUUGGAAUGUUGCUUGGACUCCCACACCUUGAAGUGGCCGGUUGGGGUGGUAUUUAUAGCCACCAUCCAAUUUUGUAGCCGUUGGAGAAGCUGCUGGCGAUGGGCGCACCGGACAGUCCGGUGCACACCGGACAUGUCCGGUGCGCCAGCCACGUCAUCCAAUCCGUUGAGAUUGGAGCUGGUCGACCGUUGGAGGCUUUGUCCUCAUGUGACACCGGACAGUCCGGUGCAGCACCGGACAGUCCGGUGCCCCUCUGACUUCUGCUCUGACACUCUGAAUUCAACUUGUGCUCAACCUUCUCAAGAUAACCGUGAUCACAUGGUGAAGAAGCUUGAGACGGGAACAACCGUGGCAUGCACUAAAUCCCUUGAAGAAAAUGUCAAGGACUUGAGGAUUGCAAAGAGGAAGGAACAAAAGAAGAAAAUCAACACCUCUUCCAAAAGCCUCAACCAUGCCUCCACAAAAGGUAACAUCCAAGGUAAUGAUCAAGCCACACUUCACAUUAAGAGGUGUAGUGAAUGCUUUGAAGAGGGGCACUUGAUUAGGUCAUGUCCCUUCAUUAAAAAUGACUUGAUUAUUAACAAAGAUGAUAUACUUUGUGUUAAAUGCUCCAAGAAGGGACACUUGCUUAGAUCCUGUCCCCAUUUAAAACAAAAAGGCAUAGGGUUAGAAAAGAAAGUUUUUACUAACCAUGUAGCAAGCAACAAACAAGGAAAGAAGAAAUCUUCAAAAUUUGGAAAACGCCUAUGCUACACAUGCCGAAAGAAGGGACAUCAAUGCAAAGAUUGUCCCAUUGGUAAAAAUCCCACUCCUAACUUGUCAUUUGAGUCAUAUAUAACUAGGCAACCCAAGAUUGCAACUUGUGCUAGAAAGGUAACGAGUCUACCAAGCGCUAGCACAAAGGACACUUGGAUUCCUAGAUCUUUGUUUACUAACCUUAAUGGACCCAUCAAGCGAUGGGUACCAAAAUGUGCUUGACAAGCUUUGUAGGAGAAGGAGAUGGUAUGAACCUUUGGGGUGCUUGAGGGAAUUAAUUCAAUUCUUAUCGAUUCAAGCUAUCAAUCUUAAAAUGAUCUACGUAUUCAAGAUUGACCCAAGGUUACUUCAAUUUAUUGUAUUCAAAACCCAUAUCAUCUCGGAAAGAUAUUAAUGUUGUAGGAAAUAAAGAAUCAUCAUGUGCGGAAUAUCAAAGCCUACAACAUGGAGGAAAGUCAAAGGAUGGUAACAUUUAUAUUCUUAAGUGCAAUUAUCUUAAAUUGUCGUGUGUCUUGUGUAGUCACAUAGAAAUAGAAAGCUCUUAAGCAUGUUUUAAAACUAUGUCAUCAUUCUUUGAAGAAAUUCCUCUCAUAUGGUAGAUUACAUAGAAAUAGAAAGCUCUUAAGCAUGUUUUAAAACUAUGUCAUCAUUCUUUGAAGAAAUUCCUCUCAUAUGGUAGAUUGUGUAUUUAUCAAUUCUAUAUUAUGACAAUCUACAUGCUUUAAAUUGUUGCAAGUUCUCAUGGCAUGUUUUUACAUUAAUUAUUCUAUUAUUGCCAUGUUCUAGAUAUAGAGAGAUAUUUCAUGUUCUUAAAAGAAUAAGGUGUCAUGUAAGGAAUUCAAAUACUUAGGUCACUUAUAAAAGGAAAAUUCUCUCUAUAACUAGAAAAGUGAGACUAAUGUUUUUAUCUAAGUAAUUUAAGUAGUCUCACUCAAGAUUUUAACCAUGCUUGUCUUAUGAGUUAAAACUAGGCAUACUUCAUGGAAUAAUCUAGUUCAUAUUAUGAAGUUUCCAUGCUUUAGUAGUUCACCUUUUCAUUCUUUAUCAAAAAUGAUUACAAAAAGGGAAACUAGUGCUUGUGUUGUUCUUAACAUCUCUCUUGAGCUUACUUAUGAAAAUCUACAAGAGAGUAAGUGCAAGUUUAAUGCCACAAGCCUCAUGGGUUGCUCUUCACCCAAAGGAAGAGAGGUAAAAGCAAAGGUAUGGGAACUCAUCUUCUUAGUUAAAUUUAGUUCCCAUCUCAAUGUCUAUUUAAUCUAAAUUAUCAUAUCUACCCUUGUGAGAAAUAGAUUCUUUAUUGGACUCAUUUCAACUAAAUGUGCAUUCAAUCUCAUUCUUCUAAAAACUCAUGUCCAUUAGAAUCUAUUUAAUGCCUUUGCGAUAUUUAUAUAUAUGUUAUCAUAUUGAUCUGCUUCCAAGUGAUGAUUAACUAACUUCAAUAUGAUAAAGUAAAAUCUCCAAUGAUUAUUAAAAUGCUUAAAAGGUGCUCACUCAUUUUUCUCAAAUGAAAUGCACUGAUGUUAAGGAUUUUACUUCAUGUCUAUGUGACUUGUGGAUGAUGAAUUAUGUAUGCUAAUUAUCUAAAGUAAUCAUCCUUUCCCAUUUACUCCCUUGCGCUAUUAACAUGUCUCUUGAGUAUUUUCAAGGAAAAAGAGACAAAUACAAAAGGAGGACACUCAAAUGAAAAAGGAAGAACAUCAAGAACAACAACACCUACUUGGACAAUAAGGUUUUCACAACAAUCAAUGGUGUGGUUGUAAGCAUUCUAAAUCCUUUUUCAUUAUGAGGUUACCAGGCUUAAGUUGUUUAUUGCAAAAUUCAUAAGCCUCGAUCAAGAUGUAUAAUGAGUCUCCCUUUAUGUCCUUAAAAGUGAAUACAUCAAAAUCAAUUCUUUCAAUUACUUGAUGCAUAUCUUUAGGGGGAGUCCAUUAUUAUAUUUUGAUUAUGUUGAGACUAUUGCUUGAUCUUAGUAAUUUCAUAUAGUCUCUUGCAUGAGAAUAAUGUUUCUCAUAUAGUAUGCUACUACACAUCAAUCCAACCUGUUAAAAUAAAGUCGCUUUUAUCAAGGAUUGUUGCUUUCAUUUCUAAAGUAGCAUGCUUAUUGGAUUCUCCUAUUUUUAAGCUUGUUUGAAAAUCUAUUGCCUAUGUUGUUCUCUUGAUCGCAUAUUGGUUGAUCAUUGAACAACUUCAAUUAUCACUUAUGCUUCUUAGUGCCUCAUAUAAUUUCAAUUUGAUUUCAAUUGGUAAUUUUAAUUGACAUCUAUCUUGAUAUGCACUAAGGAAAAAGGAGAAUUCAUGAUUCAUUUAUGCAACUUGUGAUCCAUUUGAUAUAUGCUAACAAUAACUUGAAAAAGGUCACUAGUUGAAGAACUCUCUCUUGUGCAAAGUAUUUCCAUAUAUUGUUGUUAAGUAUAGGUCUUAAGCAACUAAGACUAAGGACAAAGCACAAUGAAGAGAGCGUCUCUAUGUGAAGGUACAAAAGGGUAAAACCACUCCCUUUCAUUCAAACUUGUACCUAAAUCUUCCUGUUCUAUACUUUCUUUACAUAUCUUGUAUAAAAGGAAGAGAAAGCAUGUCCAUGCAUUUUCCCUGCUUCAUACCUAGUUUAACCUCUCAAACAUUUCAUUCUUGCAUUUAUGCAUCUUUGUUAACCUGGAUGAAGUAAUCUUAUUGUCAAAGAGCUUAAAGCUUGACCUUGUAACGAGGAUAAGCUGCCUUUGUCUCAAAGGUGGAUGGUCCUUAAGCCUCUUUGAAAUCCUUAAGGAAAAAUGCUUAAAAUAUUUGUAACAUGCUUUCAGUAGUGCAUAAACUGUCAUGAGCAUCACACUUAUCCUAUGACACAAUGCACUUCACAUUCUAUAUGAUUUAGAGAUGUUCUCAUCAACCUAACUAUGUGCAAUUGGCAUUUUAGGCCAAAAUAUGUGUUCUUCCUCUCAAUGCACAUACUUAGGGGGAGAAAUCUAUGUUGUAUAGAACUAUGAUCAUGCUUAAUUUAAUGUAUCUUUUUGAUCAUAUCUCUUUAUGUCUACGACUAAUGUGCUUUCAAGUGAUCUCUAUGAUUAAGUCGUAGAUUGAAAGGAAAAUGGAAUAUUCGGCAAAGACGACGCUUCCACUCAACUCCAUCGGUAUUAUCCACUCUUUGUCGGUACUCCGCAUAGUUCUCCACUUUGGUAUAAUCUUCACUCAUAUCUCUAUUUCAAUUGGAAUAUUUCAAUUGUUUGCCAAAGGGGGAGAGAAAGAAAAGGGCUUAUAUUUCACUCUAAAUAUCCGUUUUUGGCGAUUCAUGCCAAAGGGGGAGAAAGUAUUAGCCCAAAGCAAAAGGACCGCACCAUCACCCUAAUUUUUAAAAACUAGUAAAAGUAUUAGCCCAAAGCAAAAGGACCGCACCAUCACCCUAAUUUUUAAAAACUAGUGUUUUAAAAUUGGUAAAUUUCAAAUUGGUAUCUCUUUGUGGGGGAGAAAGUAGCACCUUUCAAAAUUAAUAUCUUAAAACCCUCUUGAACACUAAGAGGAAAAUUUAUUGAGGCGGAGUUUUGUUUAGUCAAAAGAAAAGCAUUUGAAACAGGGGGAGAAAAUUUCAAAUCUUGUAAAUGCUUCUCAAGAAUCCUAUUCAUUUACUUUUGACUAUUUGCAAAAGACUUUGAAAAGAAUUUCCAAAACAUUUGCAAAACAAAACUUGUGGUGCAAGUAUGGUCCAAAAUGUUAAAUAAGAAAGAAAAACCAUUCAUGCAUAUCUUAUGAAAUCAAUAUUGGUUUAAUUCCAAGUAAUCUUUGCACUUACCUUAGGCAAACUAGUUCAAUUAUGCUCUUAUAUAUUUGCUUUGGUUUGUGUUGGCAUCAAUCACCAAAAAGGGGGAGAUUGAAAGGGAAAUAGGCUUUAAACCUUUUCCUAAAUGAUUUUGGUGGUUGAAUGACCAACACAACUAAUUGGACUAACUAGUUUGCUCUAGAUCAUAUAUUCUACAGGUGUCAAAGAUUCAACUCAAAACCAAUAAAAAGAACAAGACAAGGUUCAAAAAAAAGGAGCAAAGAGAAACCGAAGUGCUCCCUGGCAUGGCGCACCGGACUGUCCGGUGUGCCACCGGACAGUGUCCGGUGCACCAGGGAGGAUUGCCUUCAAACUCUUCACCUUCGGGUUUCUCAAGCGCAGCCCACUAUAAUUCACCGGACUGUCCGGUGCACCACCGGACAGUGUCCGGUGCUCCAGAGUGAAGCGGCUCUGAACUGGCCAGCUUCGGGAAAGUGGGAGGUCGCUCCGCUAAAAUUCACCGGACCGUCCGGUGUACACCGGACUGUCCGGUGUGCCAGCGGAGCAACGGUCAUCUGCGCGCAACGGUCGACUCUGCAAAGUGUACAGUUGAAUUCAGAGUGUCAGAGCAGAAGUCAGAGGGGCACCGGACUGUCCGGUGCUGCACCGGACUGUCCGGUGCCACAUGAGGACAAAGCCUCCAACGGUCGACCAGCUCCAAUCUCAACGGAUUGGAUGACGUGGCUGGCGCACCGGACAUGUCCGGUGUGCACCGGACUGUCCGGUGCGCCCAUCGCCAGCAGCUUCUCCAACGGCUACAAAAUUGGAUGGUGGCUAUAAAUACCACCCCAACCGGCCACUUCAAGGUGUGGGAGUCCAAGCAACAUUCCAAGUCAUCUAGUUGACAUACUCAAGCCCUCCCAACCACCUAUAUUCAUUGAUACAUCCUAUACACAAGAUCUAGCCCACUACAACCAACACAAGUGCCACAAAAGAGAGAGCGAGCAAUUGAGAGCUACUCAAUUGAGUUUAGCCCUAGUGCCUUGUGAGAUUCAUUGAGAGAUAGUGUGUGCCUCAUCUUUGUGUUCAUUUGUGCGUGGAGUUUUGACUCCCAUUCAAACUUCCUCCAAAGUGUUGGAGGCUUGUAAAAGCUAGCAAGAGACACCAAAGAUUGUGGUGGUCCUUGUGGGAUCGAGAGUGAUCCUUGAGAAGAAGAAGAGCUCGCCGAUCCUUGUGUGAUCGGGAGAGAGGGAAAGGGUUGAAAAAGACCCGUCCUUAAGUGGACUCCUCAACGGGGACUAGGCCUUCGAGGGCCGAACCUCGGUAAAACAAAUCACCCGUGUUCAUUGUGCUUUUGCUUGUGAUUUGUUUGCUUUCCCUUACUCUAAGUUCUCUUGCACUAUUCUUUGCUCAUAUCAUUUGGUGUUGCUUCAAGUUAAACACUCAUUUAAGUGAAGCAACACUCCGCAAGAAAGAACUUGAGUUAGUGCUCUUUUCAUCUAAGCUUUCUUGCUUUAUUAUCAUAGACUUAUUAGUUGUAUUGAUUUAUCACUUCCACAUUAUUUGAAAGCUUUACUCUUUACUAGCAAGAACUUAGUUUUUAUACUCCGAUAAUUGUUCAUCUUGUUCUAACCACUAAUCAAAGGAUCUAGUUGGGGGAUAAAGUUUUAAUUUUCAGGUUUCGCCUAUCCACCCCCCCCCCUCUAGGCGACUAUCAACGGGUAAGAGUGCGCGUAAGCGGCAAGGCUGACCGAGCCGAGGGACUCCUACGCCUCUGGGAUACGGAUACCUCACUCAUCACCUUCCGUGAGAAGCAGCUCUCGCUCGCACAAACAAUUCUGUUACCGACAAAAAAGUCCGGGUACUCGAAGCAAGAGGAAAAGAGACACAACUUCACAACACGGCGAGGGUGUGUUUUGGCCUCGGCGGCCGUAGGAAACACACGCUACAAGACGAUCCGAUCCUGCAGGCUCGGAUCUUGACGCUUGAAGGGAGCAGUAGCACCCUCGGCGUCGACAACACCUUCGGCGAAGUCCGACCCAGCCUCGGACGGCGACGCGGUACGAAGACCUCCACUCUGAAGGACGGCGUCAUCACCAAGCCCGGGCCGUCGCCGCCAGGGUCUUCUCCGGGAAUCCGGCCCGAGCAGGCGGCUCGGCCGGUCACCCCGAGGCCUCGGCCAGCUGUCCUCCGAGGACGUCAGCCCGACCCGAGGCCUCGGCUGGUCAAUUCCGGCGUCGGUCCCGCUAACGGACGACCCGGCCAGGCUCCGGCCGACCAGGUCUUCCUCUCGAGCCAACUCUGCCUCUGUUCACGAUGACGCCGCUACCCCUGGCCUCGGCUCAUCGAAGAGCGGUCGAGGGGUUCCUUUAACUGAGCAAGAGAAGCCUCGGACAACAAGGCUGACCGAGCCGAGGGACUCCUACGCCUCCGGGAUACGGAUACCUCACUCGUCACCCUUACACGGGGCGACUCACGCUUGGUGAACGGUUCAGACAACCAACAGGCGAGUCUUAGUGCUCGAAAAUGAGGAAAAAACACGGCUCCAUGCCGAAAUUACGUACACGUUCAGGCCUCGACAGCCACAAUGAACAAAAACACUGGCAUUCAAAGUGCCAUUACAAACAGAACUCCGGUUCCACCUCCGCAGGUACGAACAACCCCACUCGAUGGGGGGGGCUGCGGAGCAACAGAAGACUGACGGGCGGCUCGCCGUCGCCCGCUCUGGCAGCAGCAACAACGACUCCCGCUCCGGGUGGCCGAACUGCAGCAGCGAGGGCCUCAGGGCGGAUGCUGCUGCAAUCUUGCCCUCGCCCACGCCGACGCUCGAGGGGCGAGGACAAGUACAAAGAGCUGGAGACCCGAAGCGCGGAUGGUGGUGGUGAUCCCGUCGGCAACGGGGACUUCUCGAGCCGCCUCCACCUCGGCACCGACGACAGGGGUCGUCAGCCCUCCGGCAGACCCCCACUCAGAUCCUCCCGGACGAGUGGGGCGCCGACCUCCAUGCGGAGGCACCGUACCGGUGCAAAGGCAGGACCGCCCCAGAACACGAACACCGCCCUAGCAGCGCGCGACAUCUUGGGUGGUCCUCCCGUGCACACGGCGCGGCAGCCGCUGUAAACCCUAAAUUAUAGGUUUAAGAAAAUUAGGUAAUUUUUUUAAUUUGGAAGAAUAAAAUUGGAGUUUAUGAGUUAUUUUUUUCUUUCAUGCAUACAAGCAUGUAUCUAAAUGGAUAAAGUAGUGAAAGAAUUAAAUAAAUAAAAUUUAAUUAUGCCUCAUGCUGGUUUUUGAAUAUGUGUAUCUAGUUUUAUUUAAAAUAUAAUCUUAGACUUGAAAUUCAUAUCAUAUUUGAAUAUAGUAAUCCAAAAAUUCGAAAUAGAAAAUUAAAAAAAAAGGAAAGAACAUAUUUGUGUUUGGGCCAAAAUUUCUCAGCCCAUCACCUCAUCCCAUUCCGUCGGCCCACCUACUCCUCUCGCGCGCUGAAUCGCGGUGGUUCCACUGCCGCGUGGGGCCCCUUGUCAGUCAUUGCCGCGUCCAACUCCUCAGCCUCACACGCACGCGCGGGCUCACCUUGGCUGGCGCGUGGGACCAGGAAUCGGGCAGCUCGUCCCCUCCACACGGACUCCGCCCCAAUCUCAACUGGGCGCCGAUCUCCGCGCCGCCAUGGACUCCGCCGCUUCUCCCGGGGAAAGGCUUCCCUGUGCGGACUAUAAAACCCCUGGGCGUGCGCUCCUCUUGUUCACCCUUGUGCGGAACUCAACGAGUGCGCCGCGUGCAGGAGGAGGGGAGAAUCGGGAGAUCUUGGGUACACGGGAGAAACCCCCCAGCCACCAUUAACGGCCGCUGCUCCGUCGUUGCGUUUUCUGGAGUUGCGCGGGCGCUGUCCCGAUCGUGCCGCACUUGUAGGGCACCUCGGGGGAGAGCGAAUUCCUGUGGGGUGGCUCCUAAUUGCUCACCGACGUACCGCGACCACCUUAAUCCGCAUCUUCCGGUGGCUGAGCUCCUACUCCAUCUUCUUACGGUGGUAAGCACCUCCGUUAAGUUCCCCUCAGUCCCCUCUAUGCAAAGCUUCAUUUGGACUUGAGAAUCAGUCACCACAUCUCGUUUUCGCGCAACCCCGGUGAUGGCGCCGCCGUGGUAGCUGCUUGCGCCGGCCGCUAUUGGCCCUGUUUGGCACAGCUUAUUUUCAGCUUCUUCACAAAUUUAAGCAGAAGUUCUACCAAACAGCUAACUUCUGCAGCAGCUUAUCAGUUCAGCUGCUUCUCAGAAUACACUAAAAGCAGCCAAUAACCAGAAGCUGCUUUUCACCAGCUUAUCAGAUAAGCUGCUUUUUCAACAAGCAGCAGCUGUGCCAAACAGGGCCAUUGUGUCGGGAGGGAUGAAGUGGGCGCGACCGUGGGAUGCUCGUUCAACAAUCGGGAUUGGGUCCUGGAGUUGUGAGGAUUGAUGCAUCCGGGACCGUCCGAUCGAGGUUAAGCGGAUAAGAUUAGAUCUCCAUCUAGUGUUCCAACGUUGUGAUCUGGGUCGUUCGUCGGGUAUCCAACGGUGGAUAUGUGAUCACAUGUAUUUGAAAUCUGCACCGUUGAUCCUCAAUCCGGUGGACCAGAAAACCUACCGGUUCAGUGCUUAGCCAAUUUGAUCCUUGCCCUCGGUUUCUAAUCCUGUGGCUCGGAUCUUAGCAUACCCCUUCGGUGGCCGUUUUCCUAAAGAGACCCCGCAUUUUUUUCAAAAUAACCCGCGGUCCACGGCAUGGGUAAACUGUGUCUUGGAACAAUUUACACCGAGACCCAUGGGUUCUCUGUAAAUAGUGCGCGCAGCCCAGGCAGGAAAGAAAAACCUAUAAAAUCAUUUAGAAAUAGAUUUUUAGUGUAAAAAUAAAUGCCAGAACUUGUUUAAUGUAUAGAAAAUGCAUACUUAGUCCAAAUCGACCCAUUUCAGUCUCUAUAAUUUUGUAAUAAUAUUGUUUAUCACUUAGUAAAUUUGUUUAGUCAUGAAACUUGAACUAAAAUUAUUCACAUGAGUUAUGCUAUUCCAAGUACUUGAUAACUUCAGAAAUUCAUAACCUAAAAUCUAUAACUCCAAAAUUAAUGAUUCCUGUUCCUAUGAUCUUAUUUCAAUACGUAGAUCAUUAUUAUGUAUUUUGCAUAUAUGUUUGGUGUAAAGUUAAUUUUGCCUAUACACUGUUUGUUUGUAAUGCUACGACUAGAGCGAGGCUACGAGUCAUCUGAAGAUCAUCCUGGUACCUGGAAUCUCAAGUCCCAGGCAAGUUGUGCCCUUGAUCACUUCUUUUACCCACUCAUGUUCUAAUUAAUCAUAAUGAUCUGCAUAGGUUAAUUUGAUGGGACCUAAUAGGUUACCCUAGUUUGUCUAUCUUUAUGCCUUGUUUACCACUAAACUUUCUGGGUAGUACUUGCUAGUGCUAUAUGUGGAUUUGGGCAUUGAGAUACAUAUUAUUCAUACUUUUGUUAUCAGUUGCUAUUUACUGUUCAUGAUAAGAUCAUUAUGUUAAUUGGAACAUGGAGAACCACCCGGGAAAACAGUGCUACCACAAGGGUUUAAUGGGACUCCCUUGGCCGAUUAAUUAGGAAAGCUAGUGGAAGACUACCUUACCCGAAAGGGGCAAGGGCAGUAGGGGAGUGGUCAGUGUAGGGAGGCCCUCGGGAGGAUUUUGCUGCGAUGGCGGUCCUGCAAGGGAUUCCUGCAUUGGAGCUUCCUAUAAACUGUAGCGGGUUUUCUAAAGCUAGUGGAACUUUGUAAAGGCCUCGUAGUGUUACCCUGCCUCGCCUCCUCGGUAGAGGUGUAUGGGAAGUCGCGAUCCCUUGGCAGAUGGGUAACAUGACUUGUGGGUAAAGAUACGCAACCUCUGCAGAGUGUAAAACUGGUAUACUAGCCGUGCUCACGGUCAUGAGCAGCUCGGACACUCACAUGAUUAAUCUAUGGAACUUAAAUUCAAUUUGUCAUAUGCAUUGCAUCGCAGGUGACGUUGUUACUUCUGUUCUACUAUUUAAUUGGGUUGGUAUUUACUUAUACUUAGUAAUGGCUAAUAAAAUUUUGACCAACUUUAAAAGCAAUGCUUAGCUUCAGCCAUCCUCUUUGGUAAGCCUUACACUUCACAUGAGCUCCCACCUUUGGCGAGUUCAUACACAUUAGUCCCCACAACUUGUUGAGCGAUGAACGUAUGUGAGCUCACUCUUGCUGUCUCACACCCCCACAGGUCAAGAACAGGUACCGCAGGAUGAGGCGCUUGGAGGAUGCUGCGAUGUGUUCGUGAGAGGUCUAGGCCGUCGUCUCCCAGUCAACUUUGGGUUGCUGGACCGUUGUCUCCUUAUAAUGUAAUUAUUUAUUUUGUAUAGAACUCCUGUUAUAUAUAAAGAUGUGACAUUCGAUCCUGUGCCACUAUACAUCAUAUGUGUGAGACUUGGUCCCAGCAUAUCUGGUGUUUAUGUUCGCGCCCGGGUCUUGGUGCCCCUAAAACCCGGGUGUGACAGCCGCCUCUCGGCAGGAGGGGGCACCGGGAGCCAAGCCGAUGAGCCCGACGCGUUGAGGCUGACGACGUCCGCCGUCGACCAGCCCCGCGUUGUCGAAGUCCGACCUGCCCGCAGGGCCAGUGAGCGCCCUCUCCCUCGAACGCCGCAGGAGAGGCCGACCCACGGACCCACGCGGGAGGUAGAGCUCCGGCUCAGCCCGGCCUCCACCCCAGCGAGGAUGAUGAACAUCCUUGAAGCUGAGGGUGGGACCAAGAUCGCAGCCCGGCUUGCUUCUCCCCACCCAGGGGCUGGUGGUCACCGUCUCGGGUGACCGCCGGUGGAGGGGUACAGCCGGGCCGGCUGAUGAAAAUCCUUGAAGCCGAACGAUGGCUGAAAGGUACCAACUCCCGCGGAGUUGCAUUCCUCCAACGACGAGGCGGAAAGACGGUGGGUAUCCCCCAUCCGGGGGCUUGGAAGGUGGAAAGGCACGAUACAUAAGGGAGCGCGAAGACAUGGUCGCCUUCCAAGGGGUCACCCUCCUUUUAAAGGCGACUCUCCCUACUUGCGUCCCCAGCCGUCAUGGGCUGAGUCUUCUCCAACACACUCCAAGGUCCUCCCCUACGGCGCGGGGGCUGGGCCCCACACGUCAUGCAAGCCGGCUCAGAGCAGAAGAAGCCAAACCGCCGCGCGCGGUGCGUGCAACCGCCCAGCGGUUGCAAGCGGCUCUCCACUUUUGCCCAGACCAACGGGCGGGAGGGCGAGCAGCCAUGCAGGCGGCAUGCAACCGCGCCAAAUGGGCGCACUUCUCCGACUCCCAACACGCCCGGCAUGGAGACCUAGGCCCACGCGUCAUGCGACCGGCGCGCCGAAUGCUUCGUGCAUGCAGCUGCACCGCCACUUGCGCCACCACCGCGCCUCCUCGACUGCGGAACCAAUACCGCGACUCGAGGCGACCCAGCGCACGACUCAGCAGCGCUAGCCUGGCGCGACGGUCAAUACGGCCAAAAAUGGGCUGGCAGUAAUGGUGGUGGCAGGCGGGCAGGAGCAGCGGUCACGUCGUCAGCCCAGCCUACGUCCCAUCCAGGGGCGACGAGAGAACCCUCUCUCACGGCGUGAAGACAACGCGUCCGUGUUCCGUUCCUCGAACGGCUCGCGCACGCGCAACGACCGCCUCGCGAACCACUCGCCCCGUCGCAUUAACUCCGCGGCGGGACAGGCGGCGCCUCUAGCAGGAGAAGCGGACGACGCUUCGCCUUCGCCAUAAUGACCGCGUCAAAAAAGGUACGCCGCGUCGUUCGAUUUCGUAUCCUUUUCCUUUUUUCCUCUUUCUCUCUCUUGCAACAGGGACCGGGAAAGGGGGAUACCCCGAAAAGGAUCCUUCCCCGUGAAGGAACCAGGCUCCGAGCCUCCCUACUGAUCAGAGGUUCGAAGGCUGGCCCCUCGGAAGGGUUCGACAGCCGCCUCAGAUCGCGUGGGCUCUACACCCACUACUGGUCAGAGGUUCGAAGGCCGGCCCCUCGAAAGGGUUCAACGGCCGCCUCAGGCUACUCGGGCUCCGCGCCCACUACUGAUCAGGGGUUCGAAGGCUGGCCCCCGAAGGGUUCACAGCCGCCUCAGACAUAGAGCGAGGGAUGACCAUGGGUACGUUCGAUACAUAACCAAGGCUCGGGCUACGCUCCCGAGGUACCCUAGGACAUUUCUGAGACCAGCGGGAACGAUCUUGUAACGGAAUCCCAUCAGAGGGAGGCAUCGAGCCCUCGGACCCCGUCGCCAGGGGACCGGGUCCGGCAGAUCACCCGCAGGUACUUUUGGGCGCGCCUCUGGGCCCCUAGCCGACCCCUAACGAACGGGGCACGGACGUCCACUCGGAUUACCCGCCUGCAGCUCACCGGAGACACCAUGUUCGGCGCCCAUCGAGGGAAACAUGGCGCUCUCCCCCCCUCCUCCUUGCGGAAAGGCGAUGCAGGGGCGUAUGUAAAAAAGUCGAGUCUGUCCCUGAUCGCCCUCUCGCCCUGUGCAGAGGCUCGAGGGCUGCUCUCGCAAACCCGGCUCCGGCCGAACCGUUGACAGCGUCAACAUACCAGCCCGAGAACUUGGGACCCGACCGUACACCCGGGCUACGCCCAGCUCGCAUGAGGGAACGACCAGACCAGCCGAAGCAUUACGCGAGGCAUUAAGACCUCGGAGGAGUCAAACCACUCCUCCGAGGCCUCGGGGGCUACACCCGGCGGGUGCGCUCGCACGCACCCACCGGAACAAAACGCAACCGAGAAAGGCUGGUCCCCUUGCAAAAAAGUGCGACGAAAGCCUCCAAGCGAGUGCUAACACUCCCUUCGAGGCUCGGGGGCUACUGUCGGGGACCAUAAUUAGGGGUACCCUCAAGGCUCCUAAUUCUCAGCUGGUAACCCCCAUCAGCAUAAAGCUGCAAAGGCCUGAUGGGUGCGAUUAGGUCAGGGAUCAGUCCAUUCGAGGGACUCGAUCACGCCUCGCCCGAGCCUAGCCUCGGACAAGGGCAGCCGACCCUGGAGGAUUUCCGUCUCGCCCGAGGCCCCCCUCCAGCGGCGAACAUAUUUCCGGCUCGCCCGAGGCCCUGUCUUCGCCAAGAAGCAACCCUGACCAAAUCGCCGCACCGACCGACCAAAUCGCAGGAGCAUUUAAUGCAAAGGCGGCCUGACACCUUUAUCCUGACGCGCGCGCCCCAGCCGACAGAGCCGAAGUGACCGCCGUCACUUCGCCGCUCCACUGACCGGCCUGACAGAAAGACAGCGCCACCUGCGCCGCUCCGACUGCGGUGCCACUUGACAGAGUGAGGCUGACAGGCAGUCAGGCCCGGUCGCAGGCACCAUAGGAAGCUCCACUUCGCCCGACCCAGGGCUCGGACUCGGGCUAAGUCCCGGAAGACGACGAACUCCGCUCCACCCGACCCAGGGCUCGGACUCGGGCUAAGCCCCGGAAGACGACGAACUCCGCUCCGCCCGACCCAGGGCUCGGACUCGGGCUCAGCCCCAGAAGACGACGAACUCCGCUCCGCCCGACCCAGGGCUCGGACUCGGGCUAAGCCCCGGAAGACGACGAACUCCGCUCCGCCCGACCCAGGGCUCGGACUCAGGCUCAGCCCCAGAAGACGACGAACUCCGCUUCGCCCGACCCCAGGGCUCGGACUCCGCCCUGGCCUCAGCCGACGGUCUCCGCCUCGCCCGAACCAGGGGCUCGGACUCGACCUCGGCCACGGAAGACAGACUCGACCUCGGCUUCGGAGGAGCUUCCACAUCGCCCAACCUAGGGCGCAGACCGGCCACGUCGACAGGAGGCGCCAUCAUCACCCUACCCCGAACUGACUCGGGCCAUGGGGACAAGACCGGCGUCCCAUCUGGCUCGCUCUGCCAGAUAGGCAAUGAUGGCGCCCCGCAUACUCUGUGACGACGGCUGCUCUCAGCCCCCUUACGGAAGCAAGAGGACGUCAGCAAGGACUCAACAGCUCCGACAGCUGUCCCUCCGCCAGACUCCAGCACUCCUCCGACGGCCAUGACAUCACACCAGCUGGGUGCCAAAAUCUCUCCGGCUGCCACGACGGCAUGUACUUAGGGCGCUAGCUCUCCUCCGCUAGACACGUAGCACUCUGCUAUACCCCCUAUUGUACACCUGGAUCCUCUCCUUACGCCUAUAAAAGGAAGGACCAGGGCCCUCUUAGAGAGGGUCGGCCGCGCGGGGACGAGGACGAGACAGGCGCUCGCUUGAAGCCGCUCGCUCCCUCUCCCGCGUGGACGCUUGUAACCCCUACUGCAAGCGCACCCGACCUGGGCGCGGGACGAACACGAAGGCCGCGGGAUUUCCACCUCUCUCACGCCCGUCACCGGCCACCUCACUUCCCCCCUUCGCGCUCGGCCUCGCGUCGACCCAUCUGGGCUGGGGCACGUGGCGACAUUCACUCGUCGGCUUAGGGACCCCCGGUCUCGAAACGCCGACAGUACCCUUUACCUUGUGUAUCCUGCAGCUCUAAAGUUGUGGCUUGAGUGUUUUUCUUCAGGAAUACAUAUGGAGUAUUAUCUCAAGAACAUCUAUCAGUAUCCACACGACAUAUAAUUAGAUGUCUAGUAUUAUAUUGACAUUGAUUGUUAAUGGUACAGACUAUUUGCCAUGUGUAUCCUUUUUCACUGUUGAGGUCGCAGGAUGUAGCAGGAAAGGGAUACGCCAAUCAGACAGCAAACCUUGUAACUUGAUUGUGGUAAUGCUGUGCUGUAAAUUUGAACUCCGUUCAUUCCAAUUUCCACGUUCCUCCUGUGGCUAUGCACUUACUGGAACAACAUGGUGUAUUCAUCACAUUCUUGACAACAGUUAACUACCACAGUUCAUCUGGUAGUACCUAACGGAGUCCUUACUGUUGUACAUGUGAAACAAACAUAGCAAUGUCUAUUAUUUGCUGCAAACGGAUUCUGCCUAAAGGAGGGAAGAAGUGGACAAUAGAUGGGCUCCCAGCCGCGAGAGCCCAACCGCUGAAAAAAGGGGGAAAAAAACUGGCCUCGAUUCAUUCGGUCAUCUCGGCCCUCACAACGACUUCCAACUUCAGAUCGAACUCGAACCACGGCAUCUGGUGGCCCAGCCAUCCAACUUCGGGUCGGGCUUGGCUGGCCCAGAUCUGGAUCCAGUCCAGCGGCCUACUUCCCUUAAACCCAGCGCCCUCCCCUUCCGUUCUUCUGCCGCGUGAUUUCUCUGCUGCCUCGCCGUCGCCUUGCGCAAAUUCCACCCAGCGUCUCUGCUCAAUCGCCGUCGCCCUCCGCAAUCCACCCAGCUUCUCGUCGAUCGUCUUCUGCCGGCAUGCGGAGCAUUCGCCAACGCAGGAUUUCCAUGCCCUUGGGACCCACGAGGUCGGUCGCCAAGAAGCCGUCCGUGACUCCGUCGCCGCGACACGGCCCGAGAGACGCCGUCUGGGGUCCUUACCCUCGUUCACCGCAUCAGAAUAUCCCAUCGUCGACCAUAGCCCGUUCCCGAGGCCCGACCGUCGGCGGCGCGUCCCCACGGCACAGGCCUCCCGCUUCGUCUCGGUGCACCCCCGCCUCUCCGCCGCCGCCGCCGCCGCCGCCUCGGUCCGCUCCAUCUUCGGACAUUUACGCAGGCGGAGAUACUCCUGGCAUCCCCACGCGUCUGAGCCCUGGGACGGUGGUUCAUGUCCGCACGAGGACUGCGGCGCUGAAGACGGGGCAGGUUCUCGUGUUCUGGCUCAAAGCCACGAUCGUGUCGCAGUCCACCGACGGAGGCUACGGGGUUGUUUACGACGCCAACUGGCCACGCGACGAUCCCAAAAGCACCGUCUACGUCACGCCGCCCCAAAUCAGGAUGAUCGAUCCGUCUCCGUCGCCGACAACUCCACCGCCCACCGCCGCUGUCGCCGCAACUACGAAGAAGGAGAUGCCGAGGCCAACCACGGCAGGGAAGAGCUUGCGCCUCAUCCGCAGCCUCUUUCCCGAGAUGGAUCUCCCCUCCCAUGCUUGACGAUUUAACAGGAAUCGGAUUCUGUGCUCAGGGGCGAAACUACAUAUUAGCUUGUGGAUACACAUGCACCCAAAAAUUAGUUAUAAUAGUUAAAUUUUCACCAUAUAUGUAUCACCCACAUCUCAUCCUUAUGCACCCACAAGGGAGGUGCACCCCUAUAUAUUCGCUAUAGCUUCGCCACUGUCUGUGCUGAACAUGCUUUGCUUCUUCGUUCAUGAGCAGUUUUUUUUGGGGGUGGGGGGGGGGGGGGGCUGAUUAGUUCAUAAAACUGUGCAAGUCCCAAGUGACCGUGUGUUAUCAGCAAAACUAAACUGCCAGUGCCACCAUGGUUGUUGUAAAUCCUUAACUUACAUCAUUAAUGAUUAAUUAGUUUGAGUGCUUGUUAUGUUGUUCUUUCUUUCCAGCUACAUGUUUGAGAUGGUUACUACUUAUGCGGUGUUUUUUGCAUUAAUAAGCAAUUGAUGGUGCCCUGCUUCUUGUUCGACCAUUCUUACUCUCAGUGCUUUCUACAGAGAUUAAAGUGGUAGUAUCUCUGUUUUUUUUCUUUCCGGAAGCCUGCAUGCGGUCAAUCAAGUCAGUUCUUGCAAAUCAAACUUUGCGACACUUCAGGCACUCCUCAAGCUAUUCUAUGCUGUUGCAAAUGAAAACCAGCAUAAGCAGUCAAAUGAUAUGUUGCUUCUGUUCUGUGAUUUACACCAUUCUAAAUGAAACUUCUGGAGCUGUUGGGUUAAUUGCUGCGAAUUCCAUUAGUAUCCUUUGAUUUACCACUGUCCAAUCUACCUUCCUAAUUUUUCUGAAUGCAUUUUCCCUGUGCAACUUGAUUUAUUCCUUGACUAACUGUAAAGAUAUGUUGCUAAAAAUAGGUAUUCUGCAAUAUUUAUUAAAGAUUAUUUCUAGGUACAUAACUUUGUUCAUAUUUGACAUUGGGAUCUCUCAGGUUGUCUGUUUUUUAAUAGAAGUUAGUAGCUGAUGACAUUCUUUACAGGGCUAAUUCUCUUUUCCUAAUUUCUGGUCUGACCACUGUUUUCUCUGAGAGGGUUUUCUUGAACAGAAUGAGGUUCAAGCAGACUGCUCCCAUUCAAAUAGUGAUUGGCAUCUCGCCACUUGAGAUGUAAUCACCAGAUCACUGCAUAAAUAUGCGUUUUCUCUGUUUUUUUUACUUGUGAUAAUCAUUCUAUUGUGACCUGUUUGUAUAGAUACCGUGGUGAAAACUGAAAAGGCAGUUCUUGAGUCAGAUAAUCAUAACUUUGAAGCAUUAUGACAAAAGUUAGUGAUUUGAAGACAGACAAGCAGUGCAUUAUGCUUUCUUGAACACCUGAUGAAAAAGAACUGGUACUAUGCUGGGUGAGUAAGUUGAUGCUGUGUAUGCAGGAGAUCGGAAGUUAACAAAAUAGAAGGAUUAACCGGUCGGAUAGAUAAAUCGGUUGUGUAUGGGAGUUGCUAUUUUUUUCUUGUUUGAUUCAAUCUUUGUUUUACAGAUACAUAUCUAUUGAGUUAGUGAUUCCAUAUUUUAUAAAUAAUUGUGAAAGAAGUUUAAGUUCAUUUUGUUAAGAAGAGUUUUGGGUGUCUCUUUUGUGAUUCGUUUGUUUCUUUGGGUUCCUUGUAUUCUAAGAACUUUUCUAAAGCAUAUAACAACUAGUUUAUUGUGGUGUUUUUUAUUUAGGUUUUUUCUUCGUUCUCAUUGAAAUAGAAAGCACAAUUUUUCCGUUGUUCCGUUGUGUUCUUCCAUCAUCACCAAAAAUACUCACUCAAACACUUGAUUCUAGUCGGUUCAAUUGCUCCGUUGUGUUCUUCCAUCAUCACCAAGAAUAUUCAACCACUUGUUGGCUCGAGAGCAUCUUUCGUUUCGGAUUAAAGCUAGUUGUUUGGACUGCUGCAAAUAUAAUCUAUCGAUUGUUUUUAAUUUGGUGUUGGAGGGAUUGAGUAAAGAUUUAGAAAGAAAACUAAGGUUGCCUUAUGCUUAUUGGCUAUCAUUCAUCUCCAUCUGGUUGUUUGUUUUACUAGACCUGAUAUUUCCUUUGUAGUUAGUAAAUUGAGUUGAUUUGUUAAGAUGAUCAUUGGUAUGCAUUUAAAAUAAGUAUGCACUACUUGAGUAGUACAAUAAAUUAUGGACUUCACUAUACUAUGUAUCAUAUGCUAUUUGAGGGACAUAGUGAUCCAAAUGGAGGGUGAACCGAGAAACUAUAUAGUGAUAGUUGUUGAAUAUAUAAAUACGACUAAAAAAUUUAGUAGAUUUAUUUAUAAAAGAUCUAUCUUGAUACAUGAUAGACUCACUUGAGUUGCACAUAGUGACAACCUAACCCCUUGUAAUCGGAGAUUAGACCUGACCAUGGGACACCGGAUUCGACUAAUGUGACAGGCAGGUAUGGCCAUAGCUUUUGACCCACAACAAUCCACGUACUAAGUACGGUCCAUGGUUUUUGACCCAAAAUCUGACCCAAGCCAAAAACCCAAUCCAACCCAAAAACAAUCGACCUGCCGCGUCUAAUUGGGAGGCAUGAGCCAACCCGACCCGACACUAUGCACGGGCUGGGCGCGGGCCAUGUCAAACGACCCACGACCUAACCUCGACUUGACCUGACGUUUGAACAGGUAUAUCAGAGAUCCAACAAUUCAUACCUCAGGGAAGGGGAAACUAACCUGGGCGUAGAUGACGUGAUGACGCGAGGGUGGCCGAUUGAGGCGGUCCGCAGGGAGGCGAAGCUGGAGCAAAGCGACGACGACGAUGUCGCCAUUUGCCCACCUCUCUCAAUCUAUCCCGUCUCGGCCUCGCAGCCACCAACUACUUCAAAGCCCUUGUGUCCGUCCUACUGCGGCUGUCGCGGUAGAUCUCGGGCGAACGGGGCGGGGGAAGAGGCGUGCGUUGAUGGGUGGCAGGGGGCAUCGCUAGUGGAGGUGGGUGCGGCGACGACUAUCAAGGGGAGGGAGGGGGUCACCGCGAGCAGGGCGGGGCGCAGCGGCCGUGCGUCCUCUGUCGAGGCGAAGGCUAAGGCAAGCAUUGCGCGGCUGGGGGAAGACGGGGGGGUCGGGGCGGGUGGAAGCGAGGGGCGCCGAGGGGAGGGGGUGCGCGUGUGUUGGAAUCGCGAGGCCUUGCAGGCGAGGAGGGGCCGUCGGGGCGGGGGCACAUAUAGCGGGACACGAGGCGUAAAAAUUUCGGUGGGGAGGCAUCAACGCGAUAGCGGGACGCGAGGCGGUGAGACAGGGACGACUCGCGGGGCGGGGGCAUGGUGGCGCUACUGUGGACGUACACACUACGUUCUUAUAGAGUAGUAGAGAUAAAGGUUAGUUUGGUAACCUUAUUUUUCUAAGGGAUUUUCAUUUUACGCAGAGAGAUUAGUUCAUUUUCUAUUGAGAAAAUAGAAAUUCCUUCAAAAAUAACAUUCCAAAACACCCCUCAGCCGGUUGUUGAAUCCGGUGCGUAUCUAUCAAGUUUACUUUCGAUUCAUUCAUUCACUUCACGAUUUUGAAGAUGGGGUUCCCUGUGCUGCUGACGUGCUGAGCUCCGUGAUGAAGCUGAUGAGGCGCUUGAAUUCCAACGCCGAUGCCCCGUCGUCGGCGACGUCACGCUUCACCUGCUCCGCCAGAGCAUGAGCCGACCUCCUGAUCUCUUCGGACUCCAUUGCUUCCCUCACCGUGCUCUCCACCACAACUCUGUCGCACACGUCCUUCAUGUCCAGCCCGUUCCUCCACACGGCGCCUACGAAGCGGCUGUUGAUCUGCUGGUCGGCGAAGAAGGGCCAGCACACCAUGGGCACGCCCUCGACGAUGCCCUCUAUCGUCGAGUUCCACCCGCUGUGCGUCAGAAAGCACCCCACGGCGCGGUGCCGCAGCACGUCUCGCUGCGGCACCCACGGCACGACGCACGCCCUGUCUUUCCCGACCGCGCCGAUGGCUUCCCGGAGCGCGGCGUCCUGGCUGGCCACGAGCAUAUCCGGGCGGAGCACCCAGAGGAACGGGUAGCCGGUGGCGACGAGCCCGUGCAGGAACUCGGUGAACUGCUCGUGGGAGAUGACGGCGAGGCUACCCAGGCUGAUGUACACCACGGCCCGCUCCGCCUGCUGGUUGUCGAGCCACGCCAUGCACCCGUCGUCGGGGCGCCACAGGCUCGAGGCCACCGCCGGCGCGGGGGACAUGGCGUGCAGAGGCCCGACGGCGAAUACGUCGCGCAUCUCCUGCGUGAGGUGCCCGAGGGAUGACCUCUCCAGGGACGUGGUCGUGUUGACGAUGAGAGCUCUGGCCUUGCAGCAGCUGUGCACGGUGGCCGCGACCACCGCCGCUACCAAGGGCUCCUCGUACGUGCUGGUGAGCUGGCGGAACUGGAUCGGGAGGUCUCGUCGACGCAGGAAACUCUCCAUCCCCGGGACGCCGCGGAUGGGCGCGUCGAGGUCGCCACCUUCGGGGAAGGGGAGCUCGCCGAGGGCGAUGAGCUUGGGCACGGACAGGUACGCCAGGACCGCGCACGCGCUCACCGUACGGAAGGAGAUCGCCGGGACUCCAAGCUCCUCUGCGACGUCGACCACGAACGGCAUUAUGCCGUCGGCAACGACGCACGUCACCGGCGGGAAGCCUCCGCCUCCCGCGCGCAGCGAGGCGAGCAGUGCGCGGUACGAGGCGCUGGCCUUGGUGCGCAGGGACUCCAUGAGCUCCGGGAGGCCGUCGACGGUGCGCGGGUCGUCGUCGGGGAGGCCGUCGGGCACGGAUAGGAAGCGGAGACGCGGCGAGGCGACCGUAGCCUCGGCGGCAGCAGUACCGAGGCGGCGGAGGUUGUGGUCGGUGUGCAGGAAGGUGACGUGGAGGCCCGCGCGGAGGAGCCCCGUGGAGAAGUGGAGGAAACUGUUGAGGUGGCCCUGCGCAGGGGCCGGGAACACCAGCACGUGCGCCGCCGCCGCCGCCGCCAUUGCCGCACGAUCCCAAUGCGCGGCUCGGCGGCGAUGGCGUCUAUUUAAGGGAAAGGGAUGUGGCCAUGCCGGUGUCGGGGUGUGGCCGUGUGGGAAGAGCUGGAGACUGCACUGCUGCAGAUAAGGUCAGACACGACGGGAGAGGAAUGGGAUGGAUGGAAAUUGGAAUGGAACCAGCCGUGUCGAAACGGACGCUGAUAGGAUGGGCGGCGGCGGCACAUGUGCCGCUCGAGCGAGACCAGUUUGGUCUUUGGUGACGCUGAAGGUCAGCCCGUUGCUGGCGGCUAGCACCGUAGCACGCAUAGGAAUAGGAAGCGAAUCCGGGACCGGGAUGCCUCGGCUGCUAUGCUCCAGGAGUCCAGGUAAACGCUGACCCGAAAUAGUUGGUGGAGGCGGCGUUGAGUGCGGAAGAAACUUUGGAUUUUGCAACCAAGGAGCAGCCAAUUGCAAACAAACAAACAAAAUUAUAUAUAUAUAUAUAUAUAUAUAUAUAUAUAUAUAUAUAUAUAUAUAUAUAUAUAUAUAUAUAUAUAUAUAUAUAUAUAUAUAACACAUACAUUAAAAAUUGUAUGAACUCAUUAAUUCUUUAAAACAACUACUAUUUUAGAUCAGAGUGAGUACAUGAUAAAAGAGAAAUUUUAUAAUGGUACCAUAGAAAUUUUAUAAUGAUACCAUCCAUACGGCUAAACGUGUAAAAUUUGGAGGUAUCUGUAUAACUGCCAAAUAAACGGAGACGAUGCCAAAAUAGAUGGGAGUACCAAACAUUGUGGAGCCAGAUUUACUUUUGUUUUUUCGUUAUUUUUUCAGAUAAAGACCAAAUCAUAAAUUUUGAUAUCCAGAUGAAAUGGGAUUUCCAUCUCGUUUGGCUGAUUUGGUGACCGAGGAUCACGGAGGGAUUGGAGGGAAUUGAAGGGGAAAUGACCCCUCCAAUCCCUCGUGAUCCCCUUGUUGUGUGUGAACGAGUUGCCGAUGCUAUCUAGACGGAUUCUAUAUUUAUUCUCUACACCUUUUCUUUACGAUCUUCUCUAAAAGAUUGCUAUCUAGACGGAUUCUAUAUUUAUUCUCUACACCUUUUCUUUACCAUCUUCUCUAAAAGAUUGAGUCUUUGAAGGCUCUUGUCUGAGUUGGCCUUUAGUCACCCUUUCUUCUCACCUUUGCUAAAAGGUCCUAGACAGUCAGUGUCGCCUCGCUGAUAAAAGCAUAGUCAAAAGACACAGUGAAAGAAGCCCGCUAACCCACUCUUCUUCCCCCCUAAAACCCAGAAGGUAAGUAGGGGCCUCGGCAUCUCUAUUUGCAAAGAGAGAUACCUAGACCAAGAAAUAUGACUUUUUAUGCAUCGGAAAACGAAUGAGAUCAGAAAAGCCAUCAUUGAGGCAAAAGGAAAAUGGAACUCGGAAUAUGAAUGAGAUCAGAAAGGCCAUCAUUGAGUCAAACGAUGCAAACAUUAAGUUGAAUCCUAAUGUCGUCCCUCUAUCGUUGUGCGCCUGCCCUCCCCUUGACUCCUCAUAGGAAAAUAGUUGCUAGCACAUGUCAGCGCUUUCUCCUCUCUACAUCAAGAUCUACUGAGGAGGGUGAUCAUGCUACUAGACACAACGAUGGUCGCCAUCCUCGGCUGCUUGGACCAAACCUUCCUUUCCACCAUUUUAAACUAGUUGCUUUUGUUCGAUUAAUCCUUGACGCCGGUGCACAGGCCCAUGAGGCUAAACGCCUCUCUGACCCACCCGCUCCCCACUGCCAGCGGGCACUAAUUCAUGCAUCGGUGGCUACAUGGUGGCGCAGAAACCACCGCAAAAGUGAUGCCGACCUCAACGCACAUGCAACGCCCUAGCCAAGACAUAUUUAGACAUCGGGUCAGAAUUGAUUCGGUUACAGAUCGGGUCAUAGCUUUUUUAGCAAACUCGUGUCUAGGUCAGAUCGAGUUGGGCCACGCCUCCAUGUUAAACGUGUUAGGUCGGGGAUAUUUUCAUGUCAGAUCAAGGUUUUUUGGCUUUGGAUUGGACUUUGGUUCAAAAAUCAUGGACCAUGGCUUUUAUACAUUUGUUGCAUUGUUCGGGUUGGGUUUUUUUAUAUGAGUCGGGUCAGGUUUUUUUGGACGGGUUGGACGGGCCAUGCUUGAUCAGGUCUAGUUAGGAUUUGGGGGCAACAAUGUUUGAUAGGCAGAGUAGGAAGGAAUUUGAUAGCCUCGUACCAAAAUCCGUUUGGGACCAAAUUCGAGAAGAAAAAACUAGGUCAGAUGAGGAGAGGCUUAAGGCUGGUUCUAACACUGGGUGCUAAGGCUAGGUCCAACGUGGGUCGGUACUGACCGUUGAGGUGGUGAACCAGGUGAUCGAUACCGAAAGAGACGAUCACAACGCUAGUCGGCCAGUCGAUUGGGCUACCGAUCAAUCGGUUCGAGUGAUACCACCUGUGUUGGAGCCCGUGUGGUUGGCUUGAGGUAUUGUGCCAGGUUGGCUCGACACUAAAAUAUUUUGGACUGUGUCGUGUCUAGGCCAUGUCUUUUGUUUCGUGCUUCGGGUCAACCCAUCAGCCCUGACCCAACUGUACAUCUCUAUUUCUCCCAUACAUCAUUAUUGGGAGAAUGUUUCUGCAUGUCCCAUUCUCUCACUCCUUAACCCAUACUCAUAUCCUUCUCAUUUGUAUCCUUAUCGAUCUUACAUGGAUGCUUCUCCUUCGUCCAAUGACGAUUCUACCAUCAAUGUUCCUUCUCUCACUGAAGUUCUUAUCAUCAACACUAUACCACCACCACCAUUCACUUACCAGUUACCAAUACCCUCUUCCAUACAUAUAUGAAAGUCCAUAUGGUGCUCCUCUAUAUAUGGAUUGUAUGGUGCUUCUCCUCUGUUUUCUCCUUCAUUUGGUGCUCGUCCUCUAUUUUAUUCUCUUGUAGUCUUGGCACACGAUAGUGCCCCAAAGCAAAGACAUUCAUGUCGCUUUGAACCGAUCUUCUUACUCCGACACUCCACAAUUCUAACAACGAAGAUAUUGGAUGAAGAUAGAGGAUAAAUGUUAAUAAGUACACACAUAUAUAUUCGAGGUUCCCACAUUUCUAGGUCCACAAUAGUUUUAAAGUUCAUAAUUUUUAGAUCCAUAUAUGGAUACCGCACACGCAGUGAACCCACUAAUGGCAAUGGUAAAAAGUAAUCUAGAGCCAAAUAUCUAACUCCUACAACUCCACCAUAAAAACUAGUCACCACCAUUGCUAAUAGUGAAGGGUUGGUGGUCGAUGAGCAACUGAAAGAUUAUCCUCUUCAACGACAUUUAAAACCGCUUGUAUAAGAUCCAGUCGAGUAGAGCAGAUGAUGUUAUGUUGUUUGAAACUACUAACUUGUAUUUUUAUAAUAAGCUAAAAAACUAAAAUCGAAUUUUUUAAAAAGAACUAAAAUAAAAAUAAAAAACGGCUCGCCUCCCGGAUAAGACGAUAACUCGAGCCGAAAAAAGCGAUCACACAGACAAAGGUACGCAAGGCAGCGCGCGCCUGCAGUGGCGUAGACAGUGGGUGGUCCGGGUGGGCCACAGCAUAUCCUAAGCCGGGCCACCGGAUCACCAGUCCACCAAGAUCCAUAUAAAAAAUACUGAUAUAUAUUAUAUUUGCAUUCUAAUAUAUACAUUUAUAGACUUAAAUGUUAAAUCUAUAGUGUUAUAUGCUAUUUUUAUCUUUAUAUUUUGAACUAUAUACUAAAUUGUUAUAUAUUAUAUUAAAUUAUUUAUAAAAAGUUCUAAUGGCAUACCUCACGAAGAAAUUCUAGCUACGCCACUGCGCGCCUGCGUCGUCGAACAGCCCAAGGCCACCGCAUUUGCACACCGUCAGGGAUGGGGGCAACCGUGCACCUCACCGUAACCGGUGCCCUCGGCGUGACGUCGCCGCCUCUCGCUCCGUCCCACUGCACCUGCGCCGGCGCCAAGAAGCAGAGCUGCUCGCUGCGUUCGCCGCGGCAGCAGAGGAGGCGCCUCCGCGUCGUCGAGAUGGGCGCGCCUUCCGGCGGGGAGCCUUCCGCCGGAGGAGGUGGAGGAGCCGUCCAUCGACUUCGCGUUCGUCAGCGUGAGUUCCUCUCGCGCUUCCCUUGUGUGUGUGUGUGUUUUUUUUUGAUGCGCCGAGCUGUCCGCGCGUUCGUGAUUGGUUGACGGCGGUUUAAUUGGUGCGCGCGCUCGUGAGUCGUGACGUUGCAGCCACGGCUGCUGCCGGACGGGACGCCGGACGUGCAUUACCGGACGGCGCGCGGCGGGCAGAAGCUCAGGGACGUCAUGCUCGACGGCUACAUCGACCUCUACGGGCCCUACGUGAGUCACACUGCAUGCGGCCGCCGCUGAUCUCGCUCUCGCUUAAUUUGCCGAUCACCGUGCCGCGGCUCCACUGCUCAUCGUCAGGCCUCAGGCGUCUUUCUGGAACUGAUUCGUUUUCGCUGCUGCUCUCUGCUGGUUGCCGCAGGAUAAAGUUCUUCUCAACUGCUCAGGGGGCGGUGUGUGCGGGACCUGCGUCGUCGAGGUGAACCCAAUGCAGCCAGUCACAACUCAUUCUCCUGAAGCCUGAUGCAGUGACAUUUCCUGUCGAAGAUAGGGCACAAGGAACUCUGCAGGAUAGGUUUCCUGAAGCCUGCCUGACAGUACAGUUCAUUUUGACACUUUGCCGCUUCGCUAAAUUUACAGGUGGUCGAAGGCAAGGAAAUGCUAUCCCCAAAAACCGAAGUGGAGAAGGAGUUGCUCAAAAGGGUUUGUAGUUUGCACACACGACUCCAUCUGUUCAUCAUCAGAACCGUUUUCUUUAUCAGAAGAAUAAGCUUGCAAACUUCCUAGUUUUUAAGUAAAAGUGCUAACCUCUUCGCGCCAAUUUUCAGAAACCCAAGACGUGGAGAUUGGCGUGCCAGGCAACGGUGGGCAAUGCAGAUUCAACCGGACAGGUAUGCACGAAUGCUUUCCAGUGUUUUCUUUAACGUACUGUAUUCCCAAACGAAAAAGGAAAUUGAACUGUCCGUUCUGAAUUUUCCGUCGAAAGUUGCUCUGAAUUUUUUUUACAGCAUUAUUCUUGAGUAUAUAUACUGCAACUGGAUAACGUUUUAGCCGUGCUGUUUCAUGUUUCUUUUCACAAGGGCAUAACGUUGAUAGCAUGCCUAUGGGAUUUGUUGUUUUGCGCAGAUGAUCAUUCAACAGUUGCCAGAGUGGAAGAUACAUGAGUGGGACAAGUAGAAGGGCAGAUGCCAUGGAAAAUGGGGAAAAUGAGAAGCAGUUGAUCAGUAGAAUAGCUGGUGCAGAUUGAUGAAGCUUUUCAUACUCAAGCAAAAUCUUGGGCAUGUUUUUCACCAUUUGUAGCACAACUGAAUGGAGCAUGGAUGAAUUAGCAUCGUCCUUUAAAAUGUUCUCUUAUAAUAAGAUCCUGUUUGGAAGCAACUCAAUUUUUAAGAAACUGACUUUUAUUUUUUUUUAGCUAGGAGUGGCCGGUUUCAUUGUUUUAAAAAACUGAAAAUCCAAUUUCUACAUUAUAAACGGAUAUGUUUGAAACCACCUCAGUUUCAAGAUUGGAUGUUUUCAAACAGGCCCUACAAAAAUAAAGGCGACUUGUGUGCGCGCGUCUUGCCGGAUCGGAUGUAGCAUUGUCUUAUUGGUGGAGCCCAACAUCAUCUAAUGGCAUCAAAUUAAUUAAACAACAUUCUACAUAUAAGAGUUAUAUAUUUUAGGUUUUUAUUGGUAUUCUUGUAUAAUGCGAUGCUUUUUUUAGGAGUGCGUUGGCAACGUCCUCCUGUUGCUCCAAGCCGUCCAUAGUUUCAUUUUCAUUGCACCGGACAUGCAUCCACAAGCAAAGCACGCAUGCAUCUAAAAAUGGCAGGUGCAUGCCUGCGCCCCUACGUAUAUAUUACUAUCACGUAGCUAGCUUGCUAUACCAAGGACAAAUCAAACCAUAGCAUCAAUCAUGUCUGGUCGUUCGUGGACAAUAAUGGCGCCUCUCCUGGCGUCGAUGCUGCUCGUCGGGCUCGCCGUGGGCUCCGAGGAGGAGGAGGACGGCGGCGGCAAAAAGAAGCCCCACGUCAACCACGGCAAGUUUAAGGCGGAGCCGUGGACGGACGGGCACGCGACGUACUACGGCGGGCGCGACGGGUUAACUGACACCACGGACGGCGGCGCGUGCGGCUACAAGGGCGAGCUGGGGAAAGACUACGGCACCCUGACGGCGGCCGUGGGCCCGUCGCUGUACACCAACGGCACCGGGUGCGGCGCGUGCUAUGAGCUCAAGGGCCCCAAGGGCACCGUGGUGGUGACGGCCACCAACGAGGCCCCGCCGCCGGUGAGCGGGCAGAAGGGCGAGCACUUCGACCUCACCAUACCGGCGUUCCUCAAGAUCGCCGAGGAGAAGGCCGGCAUCGUGCCCAUCACCUACCGCAAGUACGUCAACUAGCUACUCAAGGGCACGUACGGAGGUAUACAUCAUAUCGAUCUGGUAUGUAUAUAUAUACAACUCGAUCCACGCAUGCAAUAUGCAGGGUGGCGUGCGAGAGGAAAGGCGGCAUCCGGUACACGAUCACGGGGAACCAGCACUACAGCGAGGUGAAGGUGACCAACGUGGGCGGCGCCGGGGACGUGGUGGCGCUGUGGGUGAAGGGCAACAAGCGCGUCAAGUGGACGCCGAUGAAGCGCAGCUGGGGCCAGCUCUGGACCACGGAGGUCGACCUCACCGGCGAGUCGCUGACGUUCCGCGUCAUGACCGCCGACCACCGCAAGGCUACCUCCUGGCACGUCACGCCCCGCGACUGGCAGUUCGGCAAAACGUACCAGGCCACCAAGAACUUCUAGGGCCGGAUCGGGCCGGGGAGCUGAGCCGCGCCCUUCUUUAUAUGUAUAUGCAUGCAGCGGAUUAUAUUGGACUGUUUUGUACUGUGUACUACCUUCUUUAUUCCAUGAUAAACAUGUUCCAAUUUCAACACCAUUGGUUUGAGCGGUCAGCAGGCAGCAGCACAGCACAGAGCACAAAAGUUCUGAUGCGUCAGCUUCUACGAUUUGAAACAAUGAUAGCACAUGAUGUGUGUUUUGAAUUCGUAUCUUAAUCAAUGCGCCAAAUUGAUCUGCUGCAACAAUCGUUUCGACAGCAACAGGAAGGCGGGCUCAUUGCAAUUAUUUUGGGCUGGGCCUGGAGAAUAGGCAGGCCCAGCCAGGCGAAUGGAUCUCCUUUUUCUCGGCCAUUUCCAUUUCUAAUUCAAUCGGCGACGGGGGAGGCGCUGCAACGCCACAGCAGUACAGGCUUCCUCCGCCAUCGGCAAUGGACGACAGCGACCUCGACUCCGCAGCGCUCUGGGCCGCCAUCGACUCCGCCGCUGCCAAGGCCUCCUCCCGCGUCCGCUGCGCCGCCAGCGACGACGACCACCGCGGCGAGGUGCUGCAGCCGGCCCGCCCGUUCAAAAACCCGCGGCUCGUCUCCGCCUCUCACGCCACACCGCCUCCCCCCGCACCGCUGCCUCUGCCCUCGCCAUCGCCCCGGCUUCAUGCGUCUCCCUACGCCACGCCCGACGCAGCGGCAGCCAGGAACAGGCUCCAGGUCGUUGAGAGCCCCCCGCCCCAUGAGCUCUGGGGGCUUCCCAUGGCGAGCCCCAUCGCCGCCGCCUAUGACGGGGGCUUGCUCCCCUCCCUCUCCGUGGCCAACUUCAAAAACUACCAGGACGUAGCUCUCUCGGUGCGUCCCUCACCCCUCCCGCCACCCUCCCACUGUCCCACACACACCAUUGUAUUGCCCCGUCAACUUGUACUUGUUCUAUCGUCUCGUUACACUUUGCAAGCCGAUAGAGUGUAAUUAGUGAUUAAGUUGCUGAUAGAGUUACUACUAGCAAUUUGUAAUUAUCAAGAUGGGAACCCUUAACUGGCAUUGGAGAAACAACUACAGUCACGCUCGGGUUGUCUCUGUUUUGGGCUACUGACAUAGAAAAUGAUAAUCUGUAGAAAUUCACGCAAUGACGGUAGUUAAGCUUGAGUCAUGUUUGUCUUGCCCUGCAAAACAUAGAUAAUGAUGCUCUGCAGCCUGCGAAACCAGAUCCUCUGGGUCCAUGAUCAAACAGAACUAAGUGGACUCAGUUGCCUACCAUAAGUCCAUAACUAAUAGUGGCCCUCCCAGAGGGGAUUGUUGUGCCUUGAUAGAUCACUCAAGGAAAUGAAUGAACUUCACUUAUAUUCACUAUGCUUAUAUGAUGGGGGAUCAGAGUUUAUGCCUCAUGUAUAUCUGCUUCUUCUUAGGUCAUGUAUCGGUUAGUUGAUGAUAUUAUUAGGCACCAUUAAUAUCUGGCUGUUUGUGUAUUUGGUUUUUUGAUCACCUGUUAAAAGGAACAUAUUGACAAACUUAUGUUCCAUGUGAUAACUUUGUAAAGUUCAGUAGUAUUUAACUUUGAUUUGCUUUGCUGCACUUUCUCAAACUAAACAAAUGUGUGUAGUGUGCUCUCAUUGUCUCAUUUUAUGUGUUCAGUAUAUAAUCUUAUGUAAUCUCGAUAGAAAAUUGUCACGUUCGAUGCCAUGGUACACAUAUGCUUUUGAUGCAGAAAAAGAUAUCAAAGCUUGAUCUUCAGUGGAUCUUUCGACUUUAGCUGCUUCGCCUUCUCAAACUCUAUUAUGAGUUUUGACAUAUUUUCCUUGACUGGUUUCAGAUUUUGGAGAGAAGUGACUACACCACUAUCAGUGGGAACCCGUACAUAAAGAAGUCAGGUGCUCACUUGACAUUGUGUCACUGUGAGUUGUUGAUAGAAUCUUCAUGGAGCUCACUUCUAUCGUCCUUUUCAGGGUGGAGAAAAAUAUCUUGCUUCUUCAAUGUCUCGUUUGAAAUCAAGGAUCACUCCAUUGAGUUUGAUGAAAACCGCAAUGUCAACCGUGCUGAAUUUCUUGUUCGAGCGUCAAUGACGUAUGCUGUUUUCUAUGCAUUUACGAGUCAUUUUUCUGUCACUUUCACCUGCUAUUUUACUUCUAUUCAUGUUUUUUUAUCAGGCAUUAUUAACUCUAUUUUUUAACUUUUUUAUUUAAAGAGGUGGGAGAUUCUCAGACGGUUGGGGCUCCUGCGAUCGACGAGAGAAAAAAUUCAACAAACCUAACCAUGACAUUCCCAGCACAGCUGAAACCAGAGCUAAGAACAAGGCUUGCCAGGUAAGGAAGACCUCAACACUUAUCCAAACCAUUUAUCUUGUUUACAUGAUGCACCUAUAGUUUAUGCUGUAAUCUGAAAAGAAGUCAAAUGCAUAGUUCAUGUUUUAUUUCAUAACUCAAGUAACAUGUGAAGGUUAAAUCGUUCUUACAAUCUUACUGUAAAUUUUAGGAUCUUCUUGGAAUUGGACGUCCAGGAUGAGAAGUGGAGGUCACUGGACCCCAAAGGUGGAGUCCAUGAGGUGUUUACCUUUAGAUCAGCUACUCAUCACCAGAUCCUGAAGUGGAGUCCACAAAUUUUGGUUAUAGUCAAGGUUGUCUGUGUGGCUGUUAGCUCAGUGCAAGAAUAUACUGGUACGUAGGUUUCUUAACAUUUGAAGCAAAUGAGAAGGGCGUAGUAAUGUUUUCUGAACUCUGAAGGUUUAGCAUUUAGGGUAUUUUAGCUAAUGCUAAUUCGGUGAAAGAGUGUAACACCCUUCUUGCAGAUAUGAAGUUAGUAGAAGGGCGCAAUGUUCUGCUCCUCUUUGUUAGUGAAAAGCCUAUCAGAUCGGGGGGAGGGGGGAUGUGUGCUCGGAUCACCUGUGGCACUGAACUUUUUUUGUUGUGGUGUGGACAUUGGCUGCCCCUCUAAAAUGGAAGUUUGUUUGCGCAUCGAGAUGCGUCAGCUGAUGAAAGAACCAAAUACAAGGAGCAGGAGCGAUCUUCCUUUUUCUCAGAUGGAAACUGCAAACGGGAAACAGUGUGGUGUAGGAAGAACUCGAACGAACUCAAGAACUCUAGCAAAUGUGAUAUGAGUGAAUUAUUAUCACAAAAUCAAGGCGUCUGGAAAUAUGUCCGGAGCAAUAGGCGAGCGAGCCAGCGGGACGCAAGGUACCAGCAAUACUCUCAGCAAUACGCUCGGUGAUCAUCUGUCAUCUGGGACAUGUAUGUAUAUGAGUUUUUUUUUUUAUUGAUCAAAGAAUUACUUUUUUUAAGAAAAUUAUCAAGUGAUUACUUUGUCGUCUGGACUGAUACGGGCACGCUUGUCGCACCGGGUAGUACGGUGGUUCUUACCACGUUUCUCGACUAUCUCCAGCACUCCCUAUUACACUCUAUUUUAAUUUUAUUCUACAAACAACAGCACUUUACACGGCUUCUGGAGAUGGCCUCAGCAAAGGUGUCCUACGUCCAGAGUCCAGACCGCAGUACCAACUGGAGUAGGCCAGCUGCCAGCAGCACUGCACAGCUACCUACGCCGAGUCGCGUUCAGGCAAUUGCGUAUUUAGACGGAAGGAAUACAACCAAUAGUGUCGCGUUCAGGCAAUCAGGGGGUACCAUCCUCCUCCUGAGCCUUGAACAGAACAGUAGGAUGGAGAAGAGUAGCAGGCCAGUAGUCUGUGCUACAUGUACAGCUGCAGCAGCAGGCCAGCAGCCUGUGCAUUUAUUUUCAUAAGCAUUUACGUCGAGUAGCAUUUCGUAUGUCCCAUGGCCAUGCUCAGUCAAACUUUGUUCGACAAAUGGAGGCAACAACACGGUAGCAACUCUACAUUAGCAUGUUAAAGCGGUCCAUUUUCUUUCUCUUCCCCAGAUAAAUCGCAAAAAACACAACAGAUUCGACUUUGCUCCGCCUACAUUUUUUAAGGAAAAAAAACAACUUACACUGUCACAUACUACAGUAGAUGGCGAUGAUCUUGCAUACGGUUCACAUCAUCAAUUGAUGUCCGGUAUAGUAUGAUUCUAUAUGCGAGAAUAAAUUAGUUUUACUCUACAUAAGAGACACAUGCAGCCGAAAGAAACUGCAUAUUAAUGACCGAACAUCGGUGCUGCCUUCCUUUUUUUUUUCUUUCAGCAUCGCCUCAUACAGUGUGCGAAUCGAUGCCUGGUCCGGCGACAAGAAGGCUCCGUUCUGGUGGGUGGUCUCCUAGAGCAAAUACUCGAGACUAGAGAUUAACAAAACAAACUUCCUAUCUGGAACGAAGUAUAUCCAUCAAAAGGGUUUGAAUCGUGGGGACCCCAGAGUAAACAACUGCUGGAAGAAGCCUGUUAUUUGUACUGCUGAGAGAACAGCAGGUAUCCACCGAUCCUGCUGUUUUCUAAACCUUCGCGUGAAAUGUGGACGUACCACGGCAGUUCAUCGCACAGGCUUCUUUGGGCUGGGACUGGGAGUUGCCGGCAGCAGAGCUGUGAAUUUGAAGUUCCCCGAGAACAUAGAAUCUUUGCCUGUAGUAGUGUAGUUAGAACGUACAGGGCAAGAAGUAUCUACUGAGUUUAACUUAUUCAAAAAGAAAACGACAAAUGCUUUAAGAGCCGCAGAAAUUUAACCAGUCAAUGAUAGGCAAGUUGCCUCCCUUCGUGUGUAUCUUGCCAAUGCCUGAAAAAUAAUAGAACAAGUAGCUUUAGGCUGUGAAAGCUGAAAAAUAACAGAACAUACAGCAGGGGCAGUUGUCUCCGUCAGGAAAACGAGCUUGCCUGGACAGCAGGGGCAGCAGCCACAUCCAUAGCCUCUGAACCUUCCUCAGCAUAAAUAUUUCUAGCAUUCAAUACAUGUACCCAUCACACACAAUGCCAGAAACUUCUAUCGUGAAAGAAAGACAGCAAUACAUCUAUCACGUUCUCCAUCCGUUUCAAAUCAGUGUACUUUAGCUUUGGCCCAAGUCAAAAUAUAGUGCACAGAGCUGCAGCUUGAGAUGGCUAGGGAGCUCCUACAUCAAUUGAAGGUGGUGCAGGACAAUCGUUCCUUAUCUCCUGGUGAACUGUGGCUCCGAAACCUGCUCAAGAAGCACUCUCUUGCCAUGUCCUCUCUCUCUCUCUCUCUCUCUCUCUCUCUCUCUCUCGUACCAUGGCAAGGCUGAAAUCGCGGAUUGGGUGGAUCAAAGAAGGUGAUGCCAAUACCUCUCUUUUUCAUGCACAAACAAGGUUCAGGAAGAAGAAUUUCAUUGCAGCGGUACACUCAGAGGAUGGGCAAAUCUGGACUGCCCAUGAAGGCAAGGCAGCAGCCUUCUUUGAUUUUUAUCAAGGGCUCCUUGGAACUGAAUAAGGGAUGUUACUGUUGAUCUGGAUGCUCUGUGGAUGCCAUCUUAUGACCUUGAUACCCUUGAUGCGCCUGUCUCGGAGGAGGAAGUUUGGGAUACAAUUAAGUCCCUUCCUUCGGACGAAUCCCCAAGUCCUGACGGGUUCACUGGCAGAUUUUACAAAAGUCGGUGAUCAAGGCUGAUUUCAUGGCGGCAGUCUACUGCAUUUGGCUAGAAAUUUCAGAAACUUGGGUCCGCUGAAUUCAGCUUUUAUUACACUUCUGCCCAAGGUUGAGGGAGCCACUAGUGUGAGAGAUUUCCGCCCAAUCAGUCUGGUUCAUAGUUUAGCGAAGUUGGUGACUAAAUUGUUGGCUAACAGGUUAGCAGACAGGCUGCAAAAUAUGGUUUCUCCCAAUCAAACUGCUUUUAUUAAGAAACGAUUUAUUCUUUUUUUUCUCGAACACGCAGAAGAGCUGCGCAUCAUUAUAUAUUAGAAGGAAGGAUAGCUAUACUAAUUCGGUAUACUCAAAAUACACCUUUGGUACAAAAUUGACAAUCUCACAAGGAUGAAAUAUCAGUAAUUUUCUAUUUACUGGUGGAUCCCAUCUUUUACGGAAUCAAUUCCUUUUUUGAAUAAAAAUUUUGGGAGCUCAGCAUGUCUGGAAGCACGGGAGAACGUUCUUUUGCUGAUAUUAUUACCAGUAUUCGAUACUGGGUUAUUCAUAGCAUUACUAUACCUUCCCUAUUCAUUGCGGGUUGGUUAUUUGUCAGUACGGGUUUAGCUUAUGACGUGUUUGGAAGUCCUCGACCAAACGAGUAUUUCACGGAAAGCCGACAAGGAAUUCCAUUAAUAACCGACCGUUUUGAUUCUUUAGAACAACUAGAUGAAUUUAGUAGAUCCUUUUAGGAGGCCCCCAAUGACCAUAGAUCGAACCUAUCCUAUUUUUACAGUGCGAUGGCUGGCUGUUCACGGAUUAGCUGUACCCACGGUUUUUUUCUUGGGAUCAAUAUCAGCAAUGCAGUUCAUCCAACGAUAAACCAAAUUCCAACUAUAGAACUAUGACACAAUCAAACCCGAAUGAACAAAAUGUUGAAUUGAAUCGUACCAGUCUAUACUGGGGUUUAUUACUCAUUUUUGUACUUGCUGUUUUAUUUUCCAAUUACUUCUUCAAUUGAGAGAAAGAAAGAGAGUAGUAAGAAUUCUCUUAUCCCAUUUGGAAGGAUACCAUCUUUAUAACUAUCCAUGACUGUUUUUGUCUCUAGCAUGACCACUUGAGAAAAUGUGGAGGAAAGUAGGGGAAAUGGCCGAUACUACUGGAAGAAUUCCUCUUUGGCUGAUAGGUACUGUAACUGGUAUUCUUGUGAUUGGUUUAAUAGGUGUUUUCUUUUACGGUUCGUAUUCUGGAUUGGGUUCAUCUCUAUAGUAAUCGGAGGAUCCAGAUUGUAAACAUGAAAAAGUAGGAACUUAGCGGGUCCUUACUCCCCUUUAUCUGAUUAGAGCGGAAAGGGCCCGCGGAAUUCUUAUUGUUAUAACGCGGUUUUGUUCCAUAAUCUAGAAAUUGGUUACCUAUUUCUAUUUGUAAAAAUAACAAAGAGAAAACCUUUGCUCUGAUGGUUGGAAUCCCUCCAUUUAUUCUUUUGUUUGUUAAUGAUGUUAGUGAGUGAAGCAAUCCAUCGGUCGAUUUAAAGCCCCCGCCUUUCGCCCAUAAAAUGGAUUCACUCUUAUGAAGCAACAAGAAAGAGGGGAGAGGAUCCAGUAUUUUAUUCCAUGAAGGAAGUAUCCUGCAAAUCGUUGAUUUAGUUUAGAGUAAUAAACUAAUAAAACCUUAAUCAAAACUACUCAACUAGCCUAAAAAUCAAAACCACCCUUCCAUGGGAGGGUAUAGAUUUUUUUUUACAAAAUUUCUGUAAGUUCAAAGUUGAACUUAAUUCAAAAAGUAAAGCAAUUCUAUUUGCUCACAAGAAAUGUGUCCCCCGCCAUACCUUCUUUCCCUCUGUUUGUCCACUACCGCGCCCGAACCUAAGCAAAGGAAGUCCAAAAGACAGACCCGAAUAAAGAAUAAAUAGUAAUCUUUGACAAAACAAAUAAGAAGAAAAAUGAUUCUUACUUCGAUACAAGAAGAAUCGACACAAGAAAAAGGCAAAAAAGCCUUUUUCUUGUGCCCAAUAGAGGAUUAAGAAGACCCACAAUUCCUCCUAAAAGGACUUGUUCCUUUUAUUGUUCUCGUCUUUGCCUUGGAUCCUCUUCUUUUGCAUGAGAUAGAAAUAAGGAAUUCCAGAAAUCGAGGCUUUUUUCUCACUUGAUGGUAAGAAAUCCCAGGAUCUAGAAAUUCAUUUCGUACAAUUGAACCUUUUCAAACUGUUUCUUUUUGAGAACCAAAAAAACUUGUGCCAAAAUAACAGAUGCGAAGAAAAACAAAAGGCCUUGGACGCGCAAUGGAUCCUGAAGCACUAUUUCUGCAUCCCCCUGACCAAACCCUCCUACAUUAGGAUUGCUUGUUAAUGGUUGAUCAAGCUUGAUUGAUUCCCCCUCUGAAACAAGAAGUUCUGGCCCGGGAGGUAUAAUAUCAAUCACUUGGCGUCCAUCCGAUGCAUCCACUAUGGAUAUUUCAUAUCCCCCCUUUUCUUUACGUAGUAUUUUUUUUACUAUACCUGUUGACGUAGCAUUAUAGACCGUAUUGUUACUCUUGCUACCGUCAGGAUAGAUCUGUCCCCUUCCUCGGUUUCCCCCUACAUAUAUGGGAUAUUUUAAGAAAUGAACGUCUUUUUUUGUAGCGGGAUCGGGGGAAAGAAUGGGAAAGACAAUUUCACUAUAUUUCUUACCGGGAACAGGGCCUAUCACAAGAAUAUUUUUUUUAUUGGGACGAUAACUCUGAAAAGAGAGAUUUCCUAUCUUUUCUUUCAACUCAGGAGAAAUACGGUCGGGCGGCGCUAAUUCGAAUCCCUCGGGCAAAAUAAGAACAGCACCCACAUUCAACCCUCCCUUUUUACCAUUAGCAAGAACUUGUUUCAGCUGCAUAUCAUAAGGAAUUCGAAGAACUGCUUCAAAUACAGUAUCAGGAAGCACUGCUUGGGGAACUUCAAUAUCCACAGGCUUAUUAGCUAAAUGGCAAUUGGCACAUACAAUUCGUCCAGUUGCUUCCCGCGGGUUUUCAUAACCCUGCUGCGCAAAAAUGGGAUAUGCGUUUGAAAUAGAUGUGCGAGUUAUUACGUAUAUCAUGAUCGAUACAGAAAUCGAUCGAAUCAUCUGUUCCUUUAACCAAGAAAAAGUUUUUCUAUUUUCCAUGUCCAAUCGCGGAUCCCGGAAUUUCUACAAUAAAUUAGAUAGGUAGCUAAGCUAAUCUAGUUCCCUAUACACGAGUCUGUUGUCAUUCUACUGCAAUAGUUGUACUAGAAUGAUGAAUACCUUGAGCAGGUAGAAAUAGAAAGAAUUUUGUUAAAAAGGAAAAGGGCUUUCUUUCCAUUUCUAAAGGAAGAAAAGAAAUAUGCUAAUUUGAUUAAUAUUAGGAAAUGAAAUGAGUGAGUUUAUGCUUCACUAAUUGAAUGAUAAAUGACUACAAGUGAAGGAGAUAGACGGUUUAAACAAAAAAAGACCCAAAAUUUCAAACACGUGUCUAGAAUCACAGGAAAACUACAAACAAAAAUAGUGAAAAUUAGCUCGUUAGGAGCCCAUCCAAGAUUGUUGUAGACCCAACGAAUUAGUAGUUCCCAACCGCGGGUAGAGUGAAAUCCAACAAAAAAAUCAGUAACUAAAAGAAUAAAAAAAGCUUUUAUUGAAUCAUUUAAGUUAUAGAAAAAUUCCUGAACCCAAGAAUUCAAAAUGACAAGUUCUUCUUUACCCAGAAAAAAAGAACCACUUAGAAUAGCCAAACAGAUUAUAUUUGUUGAGAAAUGCAAAAUGAUAUGGAGAUGAUCCUCAUUAUCUAUUUUGGCCAAUUGUAUUAUUUCCUUGUGUAUUCCUAUAGGAAGUUUUUGUACAUGUGUCUUCGGUUUCUCUUUUAUCAUUUCGUCCAAGAGAAAAAGUUCCUCUAAUUCUAUGAAUCCUUCUAGAAUCCUUUUCUCUUGAAUAUCAGUUAAGAAAGUUUCGGAUUGCCUGGUAUUCCACCAAUUCUUAAUCCAAAGUUCCAGACAUUUGUUAAAAGAGAAAGAGACUCCCCAGGGCAAAAGUACGAUAAAUACAAGAUAUAAGAAAGAAGGCAAUGCUUUCUUUUUUUUCAUUUUUGAUCUGUAAGCUGAAUAUAUAUGAUAUUUCUUUUCUUUGAAGCAAAAAUUCUAUAACAAGGUUUGAGACCUUGUGUUUGUAUCUAUUUCUCUUUUUGUAUACUAGUGGAAUUUCAUUGUAUUGGGUUCUUUCUUAGAUCUAAAUGGAGUGGAAUAGAGAAAUAAAAAAAGGCCUUUCGUAUAAAAAUGGAAGAAUAGUAUGCCAUAUAUCUCACUUGGACAAAACAAAUUCGAAGCAAUUUUCUCUUAUCCUCGUUCCUUCCUUCCUUUACUUUAGAUAAAUACUCGAAAAUCCCCUUACAAUUGCAAAAAAUUGCAAUUGGUACUCAAAAUACUUCAAUUGGUACACGCAAGAAAUAGGCCAAUUCGGCAGCUUUUUGUUCAAUUUCUCGUGGAGUAAAAAACUUCUCAUCAGUACGAGUCAAGGGAAUGACCCCCUGGCCCCGGAUUUCCAUAUAAAGGAUACGACGAGGAUAAAGACCCUCUUUAACCUGAAUUCUAAUUGAUUGGAUAUCCCGCACAAGGAAUUGAAGGAAGAUGCGACGUUUUAUUCCAGGGAAUCCCCAACGAAAAAUGCACACUAUUCCCUCUUUUCUAUCGAAUCGGUCAUAACCACUGCCUACAUUCCAUAAAAUAGUGCACCACAAAUAGGAGCUAAUGAAUAGGCCCGCGAUUCCGUAGAAAGACAUCACGACCCCCUGUGGAAAAAAAAGAAUUUGUUGAGAUGGAAGUACAGAUAUCAUAUUCUUACCAAGAUAACUGGAAGCCCCAACCGCUAAGAAUCCUAAUGAACCUAGAAAAAGAAUACAGGCCCAGAAAAAAUUACCUCUUUUUCGAGAACCUUUUAGAAGUUCUAUCCAUAUGUGUUCUGAUCGCCAAUUCAUAUUAGAUAUACUAAAUCCAGUAGCGGUCAAUUGAAAUUGAGAGAAUAAGCUAAAUGAUUUUUACUUUACUUUUUUUGAUUCUGAAAUAGCCUUCAGUAGCUAGUACUCCUGUGAAAUAAUUGGUUAGAUACAUUGACUUUCUAUUCAAAAAAAAUUAGUGGAUCCACUUAAAAAAAAACUCGCUAUAGUCGGCUACGCAUAUGCAUGCAUUUAUGCUCGUAGCUUAUAUCUGCAUCCAUAGACGUUUUUCAUUUGUGUGUAGAAAGAGCUACAUACCCUAUCAUAUUAUAGUACUUACACAAAAAAAUAUCUGUAUUAUGAUCCUGGAAAUACAUUGAGAAAAUUUGGCCCCGUCGUUUCUAGACAAUCUUAUUUUUCUGCACAUAAAGAAAUAAGGAAGUCAUUGCAAUUGCCGGAAAUACUAAGCCUACUAAAGGUACGAAAAUAGAGGGUAAGUUAAAAUCUGUCAUAGAAUAUGUGUCUCAAUUCAAAUUUACUAUUUCUAUCUAUUCGAAAUAUAUCUUAAGAUUCUUAUGAUAUAAUUAAGUAUAUCUAUUAUAAGGAAUAUUGACUAUUGUAUUUUUUAGUUUACAAAAUAAAGAUUUUUUAUAGAUAUAGAAUAAAAAAGUAUUCUAUAAAAUAAAUGAAUGGAAUUGAUAAUAAGAAAAUUGCAAAAAAGGGGAACUCAAAAGGGGAACUCAUUAAAAUAAAAUAUUUUAUUUUUCUUUUCCCAUUCUCAUCGCCUUUCUAUCCUUCUAAUCGAACUUGAAAUUGGAUUCAAAAGAAAGCUAUUGUGAAAAUAAAAGAAAUACCUCUUUCAGAAUACCCUUUAAUUUAAAAAGUAGAAGUGGAAUAGAAUACCCAGUUGAAGGGUAAUGAUCAUACGUCUGUAAUGCAUUGUAUGUCCCAGAAUAGGUCCCAUUCUUCUACCCUUUCCGGGUAGUCGAUGGCUAUUCACAGCUACUACCUUAACACCAAAGAAGAGUUCGACCCAAUGCUUUAUUUCUGUCUUAGUGAAUCCCGAUUCGACAUUAAAAGUAUAUUGAUUCUUUCCCAAUAAACGAAGACUCUUUUCUGUAAAUACUGCGUAUUUGAUUCCAUUAUCGUACGAUAAUACUAUAUUUUGAUUUAUAUUUGUUUUUUUUUUUAGAAAAGAUUGAGCCGAAUUGAAUUGCAAUCAAUUAGAGGAAUAAAGAAGAAUUACUGCAUUUCUUAACUUAUUUUUUCUCUUUCUAUUUUGCUUUUUUUUAUUUUAUAUGGUAUCCAUCGCUUUGAAACCAUCAAAUUUGAUCUCCUUCCAUAUUUCACAAGCUGCGGCUAGUUCAGCACUCCAUUUGCAAGCUGCUUUGAUAAUUUCAUUACCUUCACGAGCAAGAUCGCGCCCUUCGUUACGAGCUUGUACACAGGCUUCUAAAGCCACACGAUUAGCUGCUGCACCAGGUGCAUUUCCCCAAGGAUGUCCUAAAGUUCCUCCACCAAAUUGUAAUACGGAAUCAUCUCCAAAGAUUUCGGUCAGAGCUGGCAUAUGCCAAACAUGAAUACCCCCAGAAGCCACCGGUAUAACACCUGGCAUGGAUACCCAGUCCUGAGUGAAAAAGAUACCGCGAGAACGAUCUUUUUCAAUAAAAUCAUCGCGCAAUAAAUCAACAAAACCUAAAGUUAUUUCGCGUUCCCCUUCUAACUUACCUACUACUGUACCGGAGUGGAUAUGAUCUCCCCCCGACAUACGCAAUGCUUUAGCUAAUACACGGAAAUGCAUACCAUGAUUUUUCUGUCUAUCAAUAACUGCAUGCAUUGCUCGGUGAAUGUGAAGAAGUAGGCCGUUGUCGCGGCAAUAAUGAGACAAAGUAGUAUUUGCGGUGAAUCCUCCUGUUAAGUAGUCAUGCAUUACAAUAGGAACCCCUAAUUCCCUUGCAAAUACAGCUCUCUUAAUCAUUUCUUCGCAUGUACCUGCAGUCGCAUUCAAGUAAUGCCCCUUGAUUUCACCAGUUUCGGCUUGUGCUUUAUAAAUUGCUUCGGCACAAAAGACAAAACGGUCUCUCCAGCGCAUAAAUGGUUGUGAGUUUACGUUUUCAUCAUCUUUGGUAAAAUCAAGUCCACCGCGUAGACACUCAUAACACGCUCUACCGUAAUUUUUUGCGGAUAAUCCCAAUUUUGGUUUAAUAGUACAUCCCAAUAAAGGACGACCGUACUUGUUCAACUUAUCCCUUUCAACUUGGAUACCGUGAGGCGGACCUUGGAAAGUUUUUGAAUAAGCAGGGGGAAUUCGUAGAUCCUCCAAACGUAGAGCGCGUAAGGCUUUGAAACCAAAUACGUUACCCACAAUGGAAGUAAACAUGUUAGUAACAGAACCCUCUUCAAAUAGGUCUAAUGGAUAAGCUACAUAACAGAUAUAUUGAUCUGGGUCCCCAGGAACGGGCUCGAUGUGAUAGCAUCGUCCUUUGUAACGAUCAAGACUGGUAAGUCCAUCAGUCCAAACAGUUGUCCAUGUACCAGUAGAAGAUUCCGCAGCUACUGCAGCUCCUGCUUCUUCAGGCGGAACCCCGAGCUGAGGAGUUACUCGGAAUGCUGCCAAGAUAUCAGUAUCCUUGGUUUCGUACUCCGGGGUGUAGUAAGUCAAUUUAUAAUCCUUAACACCAGCUUUAAAUCCAACACUUGCUUUAGUUUCUGUUUGUGGUGACAUAAGUCCCUCCCUACAACUCAUGAAUUAAGAAUUCUCACAACGACAGGGUCUACUCGAUAUGGAUUAGGCGUAAAUGAAACCUUUGCAAAAAUCUAAAAAAAAAGAUAUUUAAUUAAUAUCAACUCAUUAAAUAAAAAAAGGAGUAUGCUUAAGUUAAUGAAUAUGUUUCAUUCAUAUAUAAUGUGUACACCCUGUGUACGUUCUAUCCUAUAGGAAUUUUACUAUAGGAAUUCGAUAGGAAGGAAUUCGAUAGGAAUUGAGUUGUUGUUAUGGUAAGUUAACACGGUUCGUUAUUAAACCGUGGAUUUGAUUCACCAAAUCCAUCAUUAUUGUAUACUCUUUGAUAGAUAUAGCGCAACCCAAACCCUAAUCUUUAUUUUACAAUUUUUAAAGUUCUUCCCCUUUGAUAUUUUGAAUCUAAAUACCUAAAUACUAAGAAAAUUCUCUGUUGACAGCAAUCUAUGCUUCACAGUAGUAUAUAUUUUGUAUAUCGAAGUCCUAGAUAGGAAAGUAGAGUAGGCACAGAUCCUUCACAAAAGGCGAAAUUUAUAUGAAAAAAUGGAUUGAACUUUCCAACGGAUUCAUUCCAUAAGUAAACGAUUGAAUGGGAUUCGCUUGGGCAACGAAAUCAAGUGCGAGUCCCCUUUUCUUUUUAUUGAAUUAACUAAUUCAUUUCCUUUUGACUUUUGGAUUUUUGGAUAUUUUUUUUGAUUUGGCAUUAUUCAACAAGAAAAAAAAUUUCGACAAAUUCCUUUUUUUUUGAAAAUUAUGUGAUAAUUAUGAGAACCAAUCCUACUACUUCGCGUCCCGGGAUUUCCACAAUUGAAGAAAAAAGCGUAGGGCGUAUUGAUCAAAUUAUUGGACCCGUGCUGGAUAUCACUUUUCCCCCGGGCAAGUUGCCUUAUAUUUAUAAUGCUUUGAUAGUCAAGAGUCGAGACACUGCCGAUAAGCAAAUUAAUGUGACUUGUGAGGUACAACAAUUAUUAGGAAAUAAUCGAGUUAGAGCUGUGGCUAUGAGUGCUACAGAGGGGUUGAUGAGAGGAAUGGAAGUGAUUGACACGGGAACUCCUCUCAGUGUUCCAGUCGGUGGAGCUACUCUCGGACGAAUUUUUAACGUUCUUGGGGAGCCUAUUGACAAUUUGGGUCCUGUGGAUACUAGUGCAACAUUUCCUAUUCAUAGAUCUGCGCCUGCCUUUAUCGAGUUAGAUACGAAAUUAUCUAUCUUUGAAACAGGUAUUAAGGUGGUCGAUCUUUUAGCUCCCUAUCGACGUGGAGGAAAAAUCGGACUGUUUGGGGGGGCAGGAGUAGGUAAAACAGUACUCAUCAUGGAAUUAAUCAAUAACAUUGCUAAAGCUCAUGGAGGCGUAUCCGUAUUUGGCGGAGUAGGGGAACGGACUCGUGAAGGAAAUGAUCUUUAUAUGGAAAUGAAGGAAUCCGGAGUAAUUAAUGAAAAAAAUAUUGAGGAAUCAAAGGUAGCUCUAGUCUAUGGCCAAAUGAAUGAACCGCCGGGAGCUCGUAUGAGAGUUGGUUUAACUGCCCUAACUAUGGCAGAAUAUUUCCGAGAUGUUAAUAAGCAAGACGUGCUUUUAUUCAUCGAUAAUAUCUUUCGUUUUGUUCAAGCAGGAUCGGAAGUAUCCGCCUUAUUAGGCAGAAUGCCUUCCGCAGUGGGUUAUCAACCUACCCUUAGUACAGAAAUGGGUUCUUUGCAAGAAAGAAUUACUUCUACCAAAAAGGGAUCUAUAACUUCGAUCCAAGCAGUUUAUGUACCUGCAGACGAUUUGACCGACCCUGCUCCUGCCACAACAUUUGCACAUUUGGACGCUACUACCGUACUUUCCAGAGGAUUAGCUUCCAAGGGUAUUUAUCCCGCAGUGGAUCCUUUAGAUUCAACCUCAACUAUGUUACAGCCUCGGAUUGUUGGCAACGAACAUUAUGAAACUGCGCAAAGAGUUAAGGAAACUUUACAACGUUACAAAGAACUUCAGGACAUUAUCGCAAUUCUUGGAUUGGAUGAAUUAUCGGAGGAGGAUCGUUUAACUGUAGCAAGAGCACGAAAAAUCGAGCGGUUCUUAUCACAACCGUUCUUUGUGGCAGAAGUUUUUACCGGUUCUCCAGGAAAGUAUGUUGGUCUUGCAGAAACAAUUAGGGGAUUUCAACUAAUCCUUUCCGGAGAAUUAGACGGCCUACCCGAACAGGCUUUUUAUUUAGUGGGGAACAUCGAUGAAGCUAGCACGAAAGCUAUAAACUUAGAAGAGGAGAGCAAAUUGAAGAAAUGAAAUUAAAUCUUUAUGUACUGACUCCUAAACGAAUUAUUUGGGAUUGUGAAGUGAAAGAAAUCAUUUUAUCUACUAAUAGUGGCCAAAUUGGUGUAUUACCAAACCACGCCCCCAUUAACACAGCUGUAGAUAUGGGUCCUUUGAGAAUACGCCUCCUGAACGACCAAUGGUUAACGGCGGUUCUGUGGAGUGGUUUUGCAAGAAUAGUUAAUAAUGAGAUCAUCAUUUUAGGAAAUGAGAGAGACAAAAGAGAGGUCUUACAAGAAGGGGUAAACCCCUGCUAUGCAGGACUCCCCAAAGGAACACACACACUUAGAAACUAUUACAUGAUCAUUACAUUACAUAAUUUUCUCCGACCACACUGAGGACUACGACUAAGCGCAAGCUUCCAAUAUGUUUGGCUCCAGCUAGCACCCAGCACGCCAACUCAUCUAAGAAACUUCUCUGCACCUUGCCGAUGGAGGGAGAAUCACCCUCAAAAACCACCCGGUUACGUUGCAGCCAUAAACACCAAGCACCUAGAAUAAUGGCACUAUUAAAGCCUUUCUUCUUGUCUUUAUGCAUUCGGUUGCAAACUCUUUUCCACCGGUCAGCAAAAGCGAUAUCCUUUACCCCAGGGGAGAGGUGACCAAGACCGAAAGGAGAUAGGUGGUUGUACCAAAAUUGCCGAGCAAAGACACACGUAGUCAAGAGAUGUUGAACUGUUUCUUGCUCCUGGUCACAAAGAGGGCAUGCUUCCGGAUGUGGGAGGCCUCUUUUUGCCAAAGUAUCAGAUGUCCAACAUUUAUUCCUCAUAGCCGCCAUAGAAAGGUCUUACAUUUAGGAGGGGCCCGACUUUUCCAUAGCCUCUUCCAUGGCUCAAAAGGGAUGGAUCCUUGUAGCAGGAUUUAGAUGAAAACCGACUAGAAGUCUCGUAUUUCCACACAUGCCGCUCAUCAUCCUGGGUCAACACAACCUCUCCCAAAGAAUCACAGAGAAGAAGGUAUUGUUGCAUCCCUAGUAAAGAAAGGGGGAAAUAAUUGCCCUCACCCACAAUCUGUUGUCAAGACCUUGUGCCACUGUUCUAGAGGAAAGGGUCUUCUUAUCAACUUUAGCAGCCACCUCAGGAGCAAUGUCCUGAAUACAGCAGCCAUUCAGCCAUCUAUCAGACAAGAACAGCAUGUUGUUUCCGUUUCCCACAAAGGAGACAACCGAGCUAGCAAAUAGCUGUUGAACCUGAGGUUGGAUGGGAAGAUCCAGUCCACUCCAAAGCCUAUUCGGGUCUAUUUUCUGCAGCCAUAACCAUUUCGUUUGUAGCGACCAACUCAUAUAUUGCAGGUUUGGGAUACCCAGGCCUCCAAAUGUUAGCGGCCUAGUAACUUUGUCCCAUGACACUAAAUAGCUGCUCCCAUUCACUUCUUUCCUUCCUUUCCAAAGAAACCCCUGUCGUAGCUUAUCGAUAGAUUUGAUCGAAACGAUUUAUUCUUGACAACUUCAUGCUAGUCCAGUGGACAACCAGAUUCUUACAUUGUUAGAAGCAGGCUCGUAUCCUUCUCAAGCUAGACAUUUCAAAGGCUUUCGACUCGGUAUCGUGGGCCUUCCUUAUCGAGGUCUUGAAAAAACUUGGUUUUGGACAGAUCUGGUGUGAUAUAAUAAGCAGGCUGUUAGCUACCUCUUCUACCAAGAUUUUACUGAAUGGUCUACCCGGGGAAUGUAUUGGGCAUCAACGAGGUCUGAGGCAGAGUGAUCCUCUAUCACCUAUGUUGUUUAUUCUUGUAAUGGAUGUCUUGAAUCAGCUCGUGCAGCGAGCCUCUGAGGAAGGGCUUCUUCAACCUCUCUCUACAAGGAAUAUGCAGCACUAUAUCUCGCUGUACGCAGAUGACGCAGUGUUAUUUCUAAGCCCUACUGCCUCGGACAUUAGUGUGGUUAUGUAUAUUCUUCAUCUUUUUGGUUCAGCUUCAGGUCUAAGGACUAAUAUCCAGAAGAGUAGUGGGUUCCCUAUCUGUUGUGGGUAAGAGGUGAAUUGCUUACAUGACUUGCUGCCAUGUAAUAUUUCAGAUUUUCCCUGUAAGUACCUCGGUUUGCCUUUGUCUCCCAAGAAACUCACAAGGGACCAGGUCUAGGCCGUUGUUGAUAGGGUGGCCAGCCUUCUGCCAGGAUGGAAAGCUGAGCUCAUGACCAAGGCUGGUAGAGCUAUUCAUGUGCAGUUCGUCAUGACGGCAAAGAUGAUUUAUGCAGCUUUGGCACUUGACCUUCCUGUCUGGGCCAUCAAAGCAAUUGAUAAACAGAGGAAGGGCUUCCUCUGGAGGGACAGGAAAGAGUUCUGUGGUGGUCAUUGCCUCCUGGCUUGGCCUAAGGUUACCCGUCCCAAGGAGCUGGGUGGUCUACUGGUCUUGGGAUUAGUGAUUUAAAGAACCUCGGUUGGGUUUUGGGGGCUCGUUGGCCAUGGCUGCAGAAAACAGAUCCCAGUAGGCCUUGGACGGACUUCCCCACACGUCUGUAAGGUGGUACAAAAUCUGAUUGUUGUAGUCGUUACUACUAAGCUCAGUGAUGGAGCCAAUACCCUUUUUUGGAAGGACAGAUGGUUGGAUGGGAGAUGUAUUAGGGACAUAGCUCCUGCAAUGUUUGACAUGGUGCCCAUGCGUCUUGCCAACAAACGGUUGGUCAAAGAUGCUCUCCCUAAUCUCCAUUGGAUCUCCGAUAUAAAAGGGGCAAUUUCACUCAGAAUCAUUGCUGAAUUCCUAGAACUUUGUGAAAUGCUUGAGGCAGUUGUUCUUCAGCAUGGAGUAAGGGAUCGACAAAUAUGGAAAUUCAGUGCUUCAGGAGAUUAUACAGCUAAUUCUGCUUAUAAAGCUCUCUUCCAUGGUUCAGUUCAGUUUGAACCAGCAGAACGAGUGUGGAAAUCUUGGGCUCCUAGGAAGUGCAAGUUCUUUAUUUGGCUUGUGGAGCAUAAUAGGUGCUGGACAGCUGACAGGCUUAGAAAAAGAGGGCUAGACCGGCCAGAGCACUGCCCCUUGUGCGACCAAGAGGCUGAAACUAUAAAUCACUUGUUGGUCAAAUGUGUUUUUGCCAAGCAGUUUUGGUUUGAUUUCCUUAGUUCAGUGGGACAGCAGGAGCUGUGUCCAGCUCACGAGGAUUCCUUCAAGUCAUGGUGGAAGACUAGCAGCUCUCGAACAUCUGAUCUUCUGAGGAAGGGUUUCAAUUCUCUAGUAAUCCUAGGUGUUUGGACCAUAUGGAAGCAUAGGAAUAGAUCUGUCUUUGAUGGAUGUAAUCCUAGCUUGGUCACAACCCUUAGGGUGGCUAGGGAAGAGGCGGUGCUCUGGUCCUUGACUGGAGCCAAGGCCCUGUCUUUCCUCCAGGUCGAAGAGCUGCUGGCUUAAAACAGCAUUGUGGGUCGUGUUUUCUCUGUGUUAGUCCGUGAUCAUUAGUCAGUUUCUAGUGUUGGGGUGUAAUGUGUGUGAUGUAAUGGGGUUCUCUCCCCCUUUCUUCUUCUUUUAAUGCAAAGAUGCGCAGCUCUCCUGCGUAUUCCAGAAAAAUAUUAGUUUCAUUAAAUUCUCCAUAAAAUUUGCCAUGAUAGUGCAUUGAUUUGAUCUUGUACAUGUCAGCAUUGUUCUCAAAACUUGGUAAAAUUAAGAGAAGUUUGACACAUAGGACAAAGCUAAAUGCACUACAAUCUGGAAGGGGUGAUAACUACCAUGGUAGGUCUAACAGCAUUACAAAGAAAUGGAUUUUCUACUUUCAAAACGAAGUUAAUACAUUCACAAAUUCAAUCAAAUUCCUUAAUAAUGCAAAGCAAAGAAAUUUCACAGUUGACUUGUCUCCUUGUAUAAGUUGCUUAGCAUAGAAUCUGUAAAACUGCUGGAAUGGUCGACAGAAGCACCCAAACAGUUUGCUAUUCAUUCACUUAGGGGCAAUAUAUGGAGCGACAACUCCAUGAAGCAGGGCAGUUUGGAAGUACUUGUCAACACAACCGAUACUUACAGGCUUACAGCAUCAGUGUUACCAUCAGAGUCAAUGAUAUAUGCGUGUGUGCAACAAAAAUGAAGGAAACCAGCUCGAAUUGUAAGGUAUGUCCAGGGCUCCAGGCAAAACAUUCCUUCUGUAGCCCUCGAAGUAAAUUUUUACUUGGGUUGUUAGGUAGAAGCUUGGCAUAGUUACCUCCAGAUGACAUUUACAAGAUCAUCUUGACGAGCCUCUGGGCUUAUCGCAGCAUCAUACUUCACAAUGUUUCCAUAGAAUAUUUUCUCUAGCUCCUUCAUCCAUUUUGUCAGAAGCAAGUUAACCUAGAAUGCAUGAACAUUUUAUAUAAAUCAAUUUUCACAAGUGGUAUAAUGCAUAAAAAGUAAAAAUUCUCUGAUAAUUCAAGAGGAACUGAAGAUAUGGUUGAAUAACACUCUGUCCAUUAUAAAUAUGCAAUGUUUAAGAUUAUUUAUUUUUGAACUAAUUUGCUGGUUCUAAAUGGCAUAUCACCCUUGAUCAAAGGGGAACAGGAAGUGCUAAAAAUAUGAGAAGUUCAGCACUUCUGCUCUUGGUUUUGUACAUGAAAAUCAUUUACAUGGGGAUCCUGGAAGGUACCUUGCUGCAGCCCAAUGUGCAAGAUCGUCAUGUUUGGAGGUUUUCUAGUUCCGGUGAUUAUUCUUCAAAAUCCGCUUACACUGCUAUGUUCCAUGGCUCGGUGUUUUUCAAGCAGGCUGAUCGAAUUUGGAAGACAUGGGCCCCUAGCAAAUGUCGGUUUUUUCUAUGGCUUGUGGCUCACAACAAAUGUUGGACAGCAGAUAGAUUGGCUAAAAGAGGAUUGCCUCAGUCGCUUCUUUGCCCGCUCUGUGAUCAACAUGAUGAGACUAUUAACCAUCUGCUGGUGGGCUGCUCCUUUGCGCGUCAUUUCUGGUUUGAGUUGCUCAGGCCUUUUGGUUUGCAGGACUUCCUUCCAGGACAGGAUAUAGAUGAUUUUGAUCACUGGUGGUGUUUCAAUAGUGCUCGGCUGGGUGGGCUGAGUAAGAAGGGCUUUGACUCCUUGGUCGCUUUAGGCGCUUGGAUGUUGUGGAAGCAUAGAAAUGGUGUUGUCUUCAAUGGUUCCCAUCCAAACUUGGUGGUGGCCGUUCGGCUGGCCAGGGAGGAAGCUUUCUUGUGGUCUUUGACUGGGGCUAAGGGUUUUUCUUACCUCCUAGCUCAAAGUCGGGUGGUUUAGUUUUCUGUUUUAGUGUUGGGGUGUCUGUCAGCUGACAAACGCUCUGUCACUGCCCCUGCUCCAGAUGUUGUUUCUGGCUAGGUGGGGUUCGGUGUGUGUGUGUGUGUGUGUUGUACUGUCUGUUCGGGGUCUUUUCCCCUUUUCUUCUUAAUACAUUGACGCGCAGCUCUCCUGCGUGUUCGAGAAGAAAAAAAUAUCUGGUGCAACCGUGCAACAAAGACAUAAACAUAGAGGUGGGAGUGCCUUUUAAAAAAAAUCAAAACAACCCUCCCUCCUCCCCCUAGAUAUUUUCAAAAAGGUCCUCCCACCUUUGCCUAGAUAUUUUAAAAAAAGGUCCUCCCACCUCCAUAUUUGUGUCUUGGUUGCACGGUUGCACCAGAUAUGUUCCCAUUUACAUGAUGGAGGAUUAA